CAUUGAGUAUGAAAUAGAUUCUGUUUCUGUUGUAAGAGAAUGGUGUCCAAAUUUUUAUAAUUUUUUUUUUUAUUUAUAGGUCCUUUAAAUUUUAUAGAGCAUAUCUAGUUAAUUAGAUUAUAAUUUUGAGGCCUUCGUCAAUGAUUCGAGAAGAAAACGGGAUGUAUCCGAGGUUGGGAGAGUUUUCGACCUUAUCCUUCAUUUAUUUGGCAGAUGAAAACAGAUUCGUGGCGGGUUAAUUUUUCACUUAUCGCUUCAUUCGGGACUGGUCAGGAUGAAAGCAAAUUUUUGACAGAUCAGAAUAGAUUAAGGAAGGAAUAGAUUUCCCACCUUCAACUCCAUUUUUUUAACAAAUCAGAACAAAUUCAGAACAAAUUACCUUUUUCUUAUUUUUCACCUAGUUAUCGUCUCAUUCGGGGUUGACAGAGAUAGAAACUCCAUAAACCAUGAUUUAUUUGCAUCCCUUGGUAUGAGGGUGUAAUGUGGGCCGCACUGGACAGCCCACAUUUUUCGGGCCGAAAUGAGCUAGGGGUCUGACCGGCUCGGCUCGGAUUUAAUUUCGAACCGGACAAUGCCGGGCCCAAAUUGUCUACCCUCUAAUCCGGCACGGCCCUUCAGCCCGAAAGGCACGGGCUAUGCCGGGCAGGGCCGUGCUUCAGGCCUGCCUAGUAAAAUAUUUAUUUUUAUUUUUAUUUUUUAAAAAGUUUAGUAUGAAUUUAAAAAAUAUAAAUAAUCAAUAUUUUUAUUUAAAUUAAUAUUUUGAUUAAAACAUCAAAAAAAUUAUACAAAUAAUUAUACUAAAGUAAAUAUUUAUUUUUUAAAAUAAAUAAAUAAAUUUGUAUUAUUUAAAUUCACAUUUUAGUUAAGUUUAUUUCUAAAUGAAAUAAAACAGCGGGUAGCAUGCUACCUAUCUUUCUCUAAAAAAAAAAAGAAGAUAAUUUAGAUAAAAUUAUUCAAAUUUCAAAUUAAAAAAUUUAAAAAUAAAUAAAAAAUAAAAUGAUGCUAAAAAUUUAUGAAAUUUAGUUUCCAAAUACUUUAAUAGUAUAAAUUAAGUCUAACGGAGCCAAUCAUCGAUUUGGAAGACACAUCAUCAAAAACAACUUUGGUAGCACGAAGGCCUCUGUGCUAUCGGUAGUAUACCAGCCUAGCACUCUCUCUCUCUCUCUCUCUCUCUAUAUAUAUAUAUAUAGAGUCCGGCUUGGAUUCUAUCGAUAGUACGAAACAUUUGGUUCUAUCAAGUUUUUUGCCGUUAGAUUUAUCUCUUUUAUCAUUUUCAUCCUUUUGAUAAUAAUAUUCAACCAACCACCCACUCAACUCUAAGAGGCCCACAUCGUCCUAACCGCACAUCUUUUAAUCAAAGGAUAGAAAAUUUAAUAGUACCAAAUUAUUUUUGCUAUUAAUAGUAUUUCAGCCUAGUUCUAUAUAUAUAUAUAUAUGACCUAGGCUGGAAUACUAUUAAUAGCAGGAAGUAUUUGGUGCUAUUAGGUUUUCGAUCCUUGAAUUAAAAAAUGUACGGUUAGGAUGAUGUGGGCCCCCUAUGGUUGAGUGAGUUGUUGGUUUAAUAGUAUAAUCUAACAGGUGAAAAUAGUCAAACGAUUGAAUCUAACGGUGGAAAACUUGAUAGCAUCAAAUGCAUGGUGCUAUUGAUAGUAUCCCAGCGACUUAAAUUAUAUAUAUAUAUAAUAUUAUAUAUAAUAUAUAUAUUUAUAUAUUAUAUAUAUAUAUAUAUAUAUUAUAUAUAUAAUAUAUAUAUAUAUUAUAUAAUAUAUAUGACUUUCGAAUACGACGAUCGGCUCCGUUAGACUUGAUCUAGAGUAUUUGAAGUAUCUAGAAAGUAAAUUUGCGAUUUUCGAUAUCAUUUGCCUAGUUAUCAAAGUGGCUCAAAAUCAACCUGAAAAUAAAAAUAUUACAAAAUAUGAUGAUAUGACAUUAAAAUUUUAGAUCAAAGUUUAUUGAUCUUUUUUUAUGGUAUAAAAAUUUUCUAUCAAAAUAUUCAUGUGAUUUGGAUAUUUCUACACGUUAAACUUGCAACUGGCUCACAACGUCCAUUAAAAUUAUGAUUUGAGCCCCUUCGAUCACUAGCAAAUGAUAAUUUCGAAAAAUCACAAAAUUUAUUUUCAGGUACUUCAAAUACUCUAGAUCAACUCUACGGAGCGCGAUUUGUCGAUUCGAAAGUCCGAACAUCGAAAACAAUUUGGAAGCCACCGAGGGCUCCGUGCUUCCAGAAGCAUACCAGCCCACUAUAUAUAUAUAUAUAUAAUAUAAUAAGGAGAGAGACGAUGAGAGAGAGAGAGAGACGAGAGAGAGGCGUACGUCUUCUGUGCUUUCAAAAGUAUAAAGGUGAUAUGCCCCAACUUCCCAGCGGGGUCACCCAUCCUAGGACUACUCCCGUCCUAGCACGCUUAACUCUCUUAACCUCUUGGCCUAGUCACCACCCAAAAUCGCUUACCUGGUUAAGAGUCAUAGCCCUAUUAUAUCUUAUAUAAAGGACUAUUUGAGGUCUCACAAUCUCCUCCCCUUUAAGCCCCGACUUCCUCGUCAGGCUCAGAUUCACAAGUAUCAGGCGAUGUCAGACUUGUCUUGCUAGCCUUGUCAUUCUGACCCCGCUCAGCCGAAACUCAUCUCACACUUCUGACUGAUAAUUGACUCCGAUACCAACUGUGAUGCCCUAACUUUCCGGGGGUCACCUAUCCUAGGACUACUCCCGUCCUAGCACGCUUAAUUCUCUUAACCUCUUAGGCCUAUCCACCACCCAAAAUGCUUAAGCCGGACUAUCUGGGGUCUCACAAAAGGCCUCUGUGCUUAUAAGUUGUUUUCGAUGAUAGGACAUCCGAUUCAACGAUCGCCUCCGUUAAGUAUAAUCUACACUAUUGGAACUAUUUAGAAACCAAAAUUUUAUAAUUUUUCGACAUGAUUUACCAAGUGAAAUUUUAUAAUUUUUCGUCCUUGCCCUCGCCCUCACGCACUUCUCUGUCUGUGCCCAGACACAAGCCUCCGCCCUCCUCCGCCACCUCACCCUUGCCCUCGCCACCUUUUCGCCCAUACCCACCACGAUCUCCUCCCUACAACCCCCGAAAUAGAGGGACAACAAGGGUGCUGGAGGAGCAGGGGAGUAGGUAGAGGAAAUGGAGACGGAGCUGGGGUCGGGGGAGGCGCGGACAAGUACGCAGGAUGAGCAGGAUUGGGGAGGAGGCGAAGAAGAUGAGGGCAAUUUGGUCAUUUUGUUACACGUACCCCUAUUAAGACCUUUUAUUUUUUAAGAGGACAAAAGGUAAAUUUUUGAGUGACAAGGGGAAAAUUUUAAAUAUAAAAAUAUAUAAUACUGUUCUUUAACAGCUUAAGCUUGCAAAAGAAAAAGGAAAUCUCGAACCUAGACAUGAGAGGAGUAUUAAAUAUAAAAAUAUAUAAAUAUCAUUCUGUAAAAGCUUAAGCUUUUAAGAGUACUUGGUUGUUUCACAGAAAGUGAAAAAGUGGGAAAAAUUUUAUAAUCUAGUCAAAAAAAUUUAUAAGAUACAGCGUAGCAUAAUGUAAUUAAACCUUUUAAAUCCGAGAUUGGCAUCGUGCUGUGCUCAAAAUGCUUAAACCUAAUUAUUAUUACUAUUAUUAUUACUAGGUGUAGGCCUUAUAUAGAUGUGGGAGUAUUGGAGACUUCUGGUCUGAUACCAAUUGUAACAAUCUGAUCCGUUAGUAACAAUAACUCUUUGAGCCCAAACCACGGGCCCAAAAUGCUUAAACCUAGUUAUUCUUACUAGCGUGUAGGCCUCAUAUAUUCUAAUUAGAAUCAUUUUUUUCAACUGAUGUGGGAUUAUUGGGGCAUUACAUAAUUUAACUCAUGUUUGAGAGAAAUAAAACCAAAAAAAAAAAAAAAUGAUGGGUGACAAGUUAAUUAAUUUUGUACUUUAAAACCAUCAAUUUGAUCACCUUAGUUAUCUCUAUAUAACUAUUAUUAGUAACGGUUCAACAUGAGGAAGCUUAAAAGCCUUUGUUUUAAAAAAAGGGUAAAAAAAAAAAAUGAUGGGUGACAAGUUAAUUAAUUUUGUACUUUAAAACCAUCAAUUUGAUCACCUUAGUUAUCUGUAUAUAACUAUUAUUAGUAACGGUUCAACAUGAGGAAGCUUAAAAGCCUUUGUUUUAAAAAAAGGGUAAAUAACACAUUUGAUCCUCAACUAUCAGUUAUUUAACACUUCAGUCCUUAAACUUUUGUUUGUUCUGAAAUAUUGCAAUCAAGUACUACAACUCAAUUUAGUUGGCUAAAUAUUGAUACAAUUUUGAUGUGGAAGUGAUGUAAUAUUUUAAUUAUUGCCGUAUUAUCAAUCAUUAUACUUCUAUAUCAACAAUUUGCUUUAUAUUUAGCAAGUAAAAUUAGAUUGUGGGACUUAAUUGUAAAAAGCUCAAGUAAAAAAUAAGAGAUUAAAAUUCAAAGACCAAAUUGUCACGCGCUUUACAAUUUGGGGACCUAAGGUGUAAUUUUAUCGAAACUAAAACUAUCCCCAAUUUUAAUUUGUUGCAUGCAUCUUGCUGUAUCUAUCUCAUACUUUCAAUUCAAUACUGUAAUUAUAUAUAUAUAUAUAUAUAUAUAUAAUAUAUACUAAUAUAAUAUAUAGAAGCAUGGCUAUAUGCUAUUAGGAGACAACAGCCUUAUUCUCCUAACUUUCUAACCACCCAUCAAGUUUGAUGGUAUUAUAAAUAGAAGAGGGAAGAGAUAUUGGGAGAACCAAUAUCUCUUCCCUCUCUUAUUCUAACCACCCAUCAAAUUUAAUGGGGGUUAGAAAGUUAUGAGGCACAAAACUGCUGUGCUCGCUAAUAGCACAGUAGCCCUACUAUAUAUAAUAUAUAUAUAUUUAUAUAUAUAAUAUAUAGUUAUAUAUAUAUAUAUAUAUAUAUAUAUUAAUAUAUAUAUAUAUAUAGAUUCGUAUCUGCGAAUAUGACAAAUAUUGUUUGGUGGCUGAAUGGACAUUUUUGUUAGCUAAAUAAUUUUUUUGACAACAGAUUAUUGCAUUUCACUAACCGCAAGUGUAUGAGAACAGAAACUUCAAAAUCCCAUUUCGAUCAGCAUACAACAUAUUAUUGCAUAGCUUUACUGGUAUGUAUACAAACUUCUACAACUUCUAAUAUAUAUGAUGAUCUUAGUGUGUCUCAAUUGCCAGCAAAAAACUUGUAGUACAUCUUGUCAAUCAUGUAGAAGUAAAUAUUUCUCCAUGCAGAUUUGAAGAGCAACGCCCGUAACUCCAAAGCCCCACAAUAAAUCCCAACCCCGUAGCAAGAAAAAUUUCUAUGUUCUCCAAGCCACCAUUGUGUUGUUUCGUCUCAUCAGGAGUAUAUAUCGGUUUCAUUUCCGGAGCAAUUCUUCAAAAUAGGGGUGACCGCAGAGAUAGGGAUUGCCAGCAUAUAUAGUAGGAUCAACCAGUGUCUGCAUUUGAUCUCCCAGAUGGAAUCCUUCCUGAGAAGUUAUUGUACGAUAAAUUCAAGCUGGCUCAGGAAUGCCAAGGCCGUUAUACUUUGGGGGAUGGUUCCAUUUAAUUCGUUUAUAGAAAGAUCGAGAGACUCCAAAGUUGAGUUUCCUAUCUAUCAGGAAUCCUUCCCUUUAAGUGAUUUCUUGGUAAGUUCAAUUGUGCAGCGCUGAUAGAUCGCUAAUUGCUCAGGAAUCACACCACAAAGGUUGUUACCUGAGAGGUCCAUGCUCUUCUCAAGAUAGAGGUUCUUAGAAAAUUGAAGAUCCAACCCUUUUGUUGCAAUAUAUAACUUUAACUGGAAAAAUUUGAUUCAACAUGUAGCCUAAUAUAUGUCCAUCGAUUGUUUGUAUUACAUCAAAAAUAAAGUAAACCAAUGUAUAUUAGCCAUGUAUUUAGAUAACUUGGUUGAAGGCCAUUGCAUGGAAAUUACAAAGAUUGAGGUAUGUUUCCCUGAUAGAUUGUUCAAGAAAGAUCAAGAUUUGAAAGAUCUCAAGUUGUCCAGAGCUCUGCAGAUGUUGCCGCAAACAUAUUGACAUCAAUGCGAAAAUUGUAAAUUUGUACACUUCACUAGCCAUGUAGAAAUCUCACACCGAUAAAUUGGUUUUGCCCAGAUCAAGUGUACUAAUGGCAAUACUGUAAAGAAAGGAAGUUUUCCAUUUAUGGUGUUAUUGUUUUAAGUGUAAGAACUCAAGAUUACGGACAAAGCCCAAGAAUGCAGGAAUGUUGUCCUGAUAGCUUUUAUUGGAUAAGUUUAUAAUAUAUAGAUCCUUUGAUGCACCAUACCAGCAAUUUGCAGCUCACCAAAUAAUUUGUUGCUCGACAUGUCAAGUUCGAACAAAGAUUGCAUGUUGCAUAUAGAUGAUGGAUCCAUCACUAAUGUGAGUUGUUCGACGAGACGAACGGUGAACAGAUUUGCUUGAAGAAAGACCAUGGAAGUGAUCCAAAAACAUAUUGUUUGAGAAGAAUCAGGCCAAUCCAAGAAACCAGGCAAAGAUGGUAGAAUCCAUGUAAAUGGUUAGAACCUAAUUUAACAACCUCUAAAUGAUGUCAUAUUUCCAGAGAAGAUGGCAACAUGCCGCUAAUUUGGUUAUUAGAAAGGUCUAAGAUCGCAUAGAUAAGAUAUGUCCAAAGCCAAUAAGGAAUAGUGUCUGUGAUCCAUUAUCUGACAAAUGUAAGAGUUCAAUUUCUUGUUGCAAUCGGAGCCACCUUGGCAAAUCGUGGACGCAAUCGACAUGAGCUCAAAACUAAAUUCUUGCACUUGAAAGAGGCAGCCCAAUUAUCCUCGACUUCAACUCAAGAGAUGUAUCGUCACACCCCAUAGUGCCUUUAUCCUGUGAAGUUCAUAAGAUGAUGUUUCAAGCAUAUCCCGAGAGUUUCCCACCUCAUGCCGAGAUUGGAGUUAGGAAGCUCAAUUCACAACACAGGGCCGUGGAUCGGACCGCUCUGAUACCAAUUGUUACGUAUCUGACUCUAUCCCAAUCCCGUCAAUGAUGAUAAUUCCGCUGAGACGAAGGACGGCGUGGAGGAUGAUGUCUAAUCAAAUCGUAUCUCGAUGAUGACCGCCAAAUACUCGUAGCGAGAUCAAGAAUAAGAGGGAGAGGAUGGGAUUGAGGCGAAAAAGAGAGAUGAAGAGAGAGAUAGAAGAUGAAGAUGUUGAGGCUAGAAGAGAGGAAGGAAGAAGAUAAUGAAAUAGCAGAGACUUUAACAAUUUUCCAUAAAAAUCUAGUUAGGUUACAAUUUGCCUAUUUGUUCCCCUAUAUAAUGGACUAAAAUGGCGAUUAAUAAAACUAAACAUUGCUAAUUGAGAAUCGAAUUAUAAAUUGGGGCUUCUCUGGCUCCUCGUGGGUCGAAUUCGAUGAGAACGUGGCCUGUAAAGAAACCGAUCUGCCCAAGGAUCGCCUGUUGCCAGGUAAGUGGCCUCCGGUCCUUCUGCCUCCCAAUAUUCCACAUCGCUGGUCCUGGGCUCGCCCCUUUUAUCCGCUCCACCAUUCCUGGCUCCGACCCGAAGGUUCGCCCUGCUUCCGAGCUUCUACUCCAUCACAUCGCCCUUUGCUGGUACCACUCCCUAUGAACUCCUUGCUCCUUCUCGAUCACCAUGGUUGACGCUGUUCGUGCUCCAGGCUCCCACAAGGAAAAGCUAAGCUUCCAUUAUCUCUUCUCCUUAUUCCAUUCCCAAUUAACUCUGUUUCUACCUCUAACCAACUCCUCUCUACUUGGCAAGAUGCAACAGAAUUUUAAUUAGAUUUAAUUUUUUUUUGCAAUUGAACAUAAUUUUUUUGGCAAAUUGAACCAAAUCGAGCUGAGUAAACCCUUAGCCAUGACAAGGUUUUUUUUCUUUUUUUUGUUUUUUUUUUUUUUUGGUGAGGUGUGAAACCGAGAAAAUGUGGUAAAAAAGUUGCUGGACUUGGAGUCAUCCCACAAUAAGCAGGCCACUUUUUUAGUGCUUGAUCUUGACUUCCACUUUUAACAGCGUAAACAUCAAGUAUAAUUUAAUGCUCAACUUGGAAUCUUUUUGUGAACUGCUUAUGCAAUCAGUAUGAGUAAUGUUACAUGCAUUGGAUAAACUUCAAUACGGAACGAAUUAUGUAUGUUUGUACUCAGUGUAUCUGUACAUCCCAUGCAACUGCACCCGCACUUAUAAUUUGUGAUUAAUAUUCUAAAAUCAAAAUCUAAUAUAACCCAUCAAAACACAUGCGUUGAGUAUGAAAUAGAUUCUGUUCUGUUGUAAGAGAAUGGUGUCCAAAUUUUUAUAAUUUUUUUAUUUAUGGUGCUUUAAAGUUUAUAGAGUAUAUCUAGUUAAUUUGAUUUUAAUUUUGUGACCUUCCUCAGAGAAUUCGAAAGUAAACCGGGAUGUAUCCAAGGUUGGGAGAGUUUCCGACCUUAUCCUCCAUUUAUUUGGCGGAUCGAAAUAGAUUCGGGCGGUUAUUUUUUACUUAUCACUUUCAUUCGCGUCUGGUCAGGAUGGAAGCAGAUUUUGACAGAUCAGGAUAAAUUAAGGAACAGGAAUAGAUUCCCACCUUUCACUGUUCCAUUUUUAACAAUCAUUCAGGACGAAUUACCUUUUUCUUAUUUUUCACCUAGUAUUCAUCUCAUUGCGGGCUGACAAAUUAGAAACUGGAUUUAUUUGGCGGAUAGAAACUCUAUAUAGUUUGGCGUUUACAAGUACAAGGAGCAAAAAAAAAAAAGGAAAAAAAAUUUGUAGGUAACUACCGUAUACCCACCUGCCCACCCGCGGCGGUACAGGUAAACAUGUUGGCCAUCCAAAAAAUUACAAGUAAAUUUACCCAUGCCCAUUAUACCCGCAGGUGAAAAAGUAUGAUAAAAAAAUAUAAUUUAUUUAUUUUCGUAUGUAUAUUGCGUUACAUAUAUCACAUGAAUCGGUUACAAUAUAUUUUCUGGCGGUCCGGAAAAUGCAGAAGCAUAUCCCUAUAUAUUUUUACCCGCCCAACUCUAUUUAUCUAAUAGCGUAAGAUGGCCCACAAAAUCGUAAGGAACACAGACUUUAUCAAUAUAUAUGUAAAAGAUCUAGCUUCUUUUGACCCCACACUGUGGCAUCCUUGCUUGGAGUGGUAAAAAAAAAAAAAAAAAAGGGCAUUAUGGUCUUUUUGGGUUGGUGGAUAAGUAGGGUGGCAAUCUAGGCUCGCUGUUCGUGAGCCAGCUCGUGUUCGGCCUCGAAAUGAGCUCGAGAUCGUCUCGCUCGUUUAUGUAAACGAGCCGAACACGAGCUGGAUUUUUCAGCUCGUUUAAUAAACGAGCCGAAGCACGAAGCUGGGGUCAGCUCGCUCCGUGUUCGGCUCGAUAACAGCUCGAAUACAUCUAUUUAUAUUUAUAUAUUUAUAUUUUAUAUAUAAAUAAAUAAUUAUAUAUAAUAUAUUUUUUUUAAUUAUUUAAUUUUAAAAAAAAUAAAAAUAUAAAUGCGAAAUUAAAUAUAAAAGACUUAUUUAUAUGUAAGUUUUAACUAUUAAAUCAAAGUCUAAUGACAUUUUAUAAUUUAUUUUUUAUAUAAUUUAAUCUAAUCCUUUUAAAUUAUUGUUCGUUUGGUCAACUCGUAGGGCCAGCUCGUGUGCGGCUCGUUUAUUAACGAGCGAACACGACUGAAUUUUUCGCUCAAUACUUUAACGAGCCAGCUCGUGUUCGACUCGUUUAAUAAACGAGCCGAACACGAGCCGACCCCCAGCUGCUCGUGUUCGGCUCAUUUACACCCUAUGGAUAAGCAGGCCAACUCCCUCUUGAUAUUUAUCCACUCUAACCUGUUGCGAAGGGAUAAUUAUCAUUUUUCUUUUACUCUCAGACUUUGAUCGUGGCUUGGAGAGAUUAUGGCUCAUUCGCGGUGAUUUUCGACAGUCGCCUGGGGAGCCGUCGAGGCAUACGUGCGUCGCCGUAGUUUAGCGAGGAGGCCGGGCGAGGGAGUGUUUUCGUCGUUCUCGACGCCUGUGCCGGAAUUGGAGUCGCUGCGAGGAUCUUGUCGUCGACUGUUAUAUAUUCAGCUCGUCACGCGACGUAGAGCAUGGAUUUCGACGAGAUUGGUUCGCUUGGAACCGGGACUUCGCAGACGAAGAUUCUGAGCCCAAGAUCACGCAAUUUUGGAGGCAGGUUCCAGCGUCGAGUCUUCGUAUUCUGGCCCGUUCUCUGCGUAAGCGUCGAAUUCAGCGAACCACCUGGGCCAUUUGAUUCCGUGCUUCGAGCGAAGCUACACAACUCAAACCUUGUUUGCUGAAUUUGAAUAAGGUUAGCUUGGUCGGAGUUUAACACUUUCUUCGCUGCCAGGAGUUGCUUGAGAGGUGGUUACAUCGUUUUUACUCUAAGUUCAUAUUCUCCGGCAUGUAUAAUUUCGACCUUUGGAUACUCUUAUUCUAGCUCGAAUUCAUCGAAUUAUAUUGUAGAUUGCAAAUCUGAAUUGGAGCAUGUGUAAUAAUUAAGUUAGGUUAUACAUGUUGGACCUUGAAAAUUGAAUGGGAAAACCUGCGAUUUGGACCUGUCACUUGUUUAAACUGCCUGAUUUAGCUCUAAGGAGCCGUUAUUAAAAUUGUACUAUCGCAGUAUCUUCGAAUGAGUACUCCAGCGUAGUUUAGAUUACAUUUACGCUCGUGCUGGUGCGCCGAGUGGAUUUUACCAGGAUCGGUCAAAUUGUUCCGGACUGGUGGGUGCCGUCAGAGUUGACGGUGGACCCGUAUCGCCUUUUUGGGAGUCAGAUUGUGCCGAGGGCACAUUACCUGUUGGUGGCUAGAUCAGUUUGAGUUUGGUUACUUGAACUUGGCUUUCAAGAGCCUGUUUGAGCUCGAGAGAUACGCUGUAUACUCGUUGGGUAGCGCCCACGAGUGCCACUCCACCGGAGUCAGGCUUUGUGCUUCGCGUUGGUGUCGCUCAUUGCCAGUUGGACUUGCUCUCCCACAGAGCAGUUAUGGGUGGGGGUAGCUGGAUAGUCGGGCAACGGGCAGAGACGGUGGUAUUCACAGCCCAAGGGACGGGUAUGUUUACAGUCUGAUUGGAUUGGUCAGAUUUGACAUUUCCUACAGUUGUUAGUGUAGAGCAUGAUAGUGUAGUGAUUGAUAGCAGUAGAGUGUACUUCCUGCUUUUCCUACUAUUUUGGCUCCCUUCUGUAGACUUAGUGGGUAGACCGAUGUUGUUUGGGCGGCACCGCCACUGAGGACUACCUGUUUUUUAACAACAGUAGUUCUCACGCCCAGUUGUUACUCCCUGUUUGCAAAGCCACAGGUGCCGGCUGCUGCAGUCUUCCGCCGACGCAAGGAUCGAGGUAAGGGCGUUGCGAGUCUAGAGCCUAAUACCCGACAGUCAAGAGCUAGAGGCUUCCACUACUGGCAGGUGUUGUUGUUUUGGAGAUUUACGUAUAUAGUUGUUUAACUGCCAGUGCGAGUAACCUUGUAUUUUGGAUUCUAGCUAUGUAUAUGAAACUCAGUUAUUUAGUUUUUUUGAGCAGCUCUAUGCUACUGUUUAUAGUAUCGUAUUUACAGUACUUUGACGCUUGCGUAUACAAGGAAAAUUUCUUUGUAUACGGCGAUUUGUCGGCCGUGCCGCAGGAAUGAGAUAUCCGGGGCGGUGAACACCAGCCGUGGCUCUUUAUUCCUAUUUUCACACCAUAUUUUAAUUUAAUGAAUGACAUCUAUUAAACAAAGCCAAAAAUCUGACCCUACUCGAGAGCAGCGUGCUCAGUAACUUUCUUUCGACCUAAUUUUUUUUUAAGGAAUAAUUAUCUAUCAUACUCUCCAAAACUUCACCCUUACUAUAUUCUUCGUUAUUCAAAAAAUAUUCGAGAGAAGGCUAGUUGUCCACCCUUAAUUAUCUAGGUUAAACGUAAGUUUAAAUUGUCUAUCAUAUUAUAAAAAAAUCAAAAUAUCUCUUUUGCCUUAACGUAAGGCGAAUAAGAAAAGUUGUAAUAUUGAAGGCACUAUUUUCAAAGGCCCAAAAUCAACAUUACUUCUUUUGCCCUCUAAACUUAAGGACAAAUAAUAAAAGUUGGUUACAGGUAUAAAGGGUAUAUUAGAAAGGCAAAUAGUACAUUUACAAGAUAUGAUUAUUAAAUUACUACACUAACAAAAUUUAACUCUAGGGGUAAUAUUUGAAAUAGACUUGAACUCGAAAAGCAUAUUAGCCUUCUAAGAGGAAGUAAAUCAAAAGCGAAAUUUUUUCAGGAGUAUUACUAAGCAAUUGCCCUUUUUUUUAAUUGGAUUUGCAAAGUAUACGGGUAUAUGCGUUAUUUUUAUUUACUUUUCUUUAAUUGAGGGGGGGGGUGAAUUUAUAUUUUUAUUUUGAAUUAGUAUUUUUUUUGAGUUGUUGUAAUAUCCAUAAUAAUUAUGUACAUUAAAUAUUUUUAGUUGUUGUACUUGAUUAUUAUUGUCGUAAAAAUAAAUUCCAUUUUUUUUUUUCUAUUUUGAAACAUAUAGUUAAUUUCAUCACUAUUUGUAAGUCCACUAAUUUAUAUUAGUCAUCAAUUUUUAUCUCAGUGAAUAUAAGACAAAUUUAAAAGAAAAGUGUCUUUUAGUUUUUACAAUAAAAAGUCAUCUUGAAAGCCAAAAGAGAGAGUGAAAAUAUAUAAGGUUUUUACUACAACAAUACAAAUCAUCUUUAUGAGAGAAGUAAAUGAAUAUAACGAAUUCUCUUCUGGCUAAAUCUGGCAAAAUACGAAAAGAAAUUAUACUAUUCAAACAUUCAGAUCUACCACUAAAAUAUUCAAUAUUUUCUCCUACAUCGUAUUGAUCUUACUAUGAAACAAUUUCUAAAUUCACUACUAUAAUAGCCAACCAGAAAGAGAAUAAAUAGAAUAUUUUAUCUAUAAUUUUUUUUAAAAAGAAUAAUAUCUAAUAACCGUUUUAAAAUUUUAAAAGUAUCCUUAUUUAUUUUCUGUAGGACUAAAAUAGCUUGUUGUUUUUAAAAUAUCAACUAGAUUGAGGUUGGGUUUUUGAAGAUAAUGAUAAUCUCAUAAUAAUUUAAAAAUUUGAAAGUAAUAGGGUAAAUUGUUAUCAUAUAUAUUACAAUACCAUAUAUAUAUUAUAUAUGUCAUAUAAUAUAUAUAUAUAUAUAUAUAUAUAUUAAAAUAUAAUAUAUAUAUAAUAUAUUAUAUAUAGAACUACUACUAUGCUAUUGAAUCACCAAAUCAUUGGUGCUACCAGUUUUUGGCAUUGGAUUAAAGAGAUGUGUGAGUUAGGAUGAUGUGGCCCACUAGGUUGAGUGAGGUGGUGGUUGAAUAGUAAUGAUUCUAAGGAUGAAAAUGAUCAAAAGUAGAUCUAAACGGUGGAAAACUUGGUAAACACCUAAGUGCUUCAUGCAUUAAUAGCAUACGAGCCGGACUCUCAUAUAUAAUAUAUAUAUAUUAUAUAUAUAUAUAUUGAUACGACAUUACGGGCAUUUAAAACUCUAGAAAUCAAUUUUUAUAAUUUUUCGACAUCAUUUACCUUACGAUUCAAGAGUGUCACAAAUUUGCCAUUAUUCACUGCCGAUAUGCGAAUACUUGCUAGUUUUAACAGUGGUAAAAGAAUAGGCAAUUUUGUUGAAUUUUAAUAGAAAUUCUAUUCACGUACCUAGAUAAAGAUACAAUAACUCCGAAUCUUGAAUUGAAGAUUCGAUCAUCCUUUUUUAGAACGGUGUUGCGAUUGACCAUAUCAUUUUGUGCCUCACUUGCCGAACUUUAUAUGAUUUUGAAAAUUUACAAAUUUUUCUAAAAGUUAUCAAUAUACUCUAGAUUAUAUUUAAUAUGUGGAUCUCGAUUCGGAAGGCUCCAUCAUUCAAAAUAACUUAUGAGUGAGUGAGGGCUCAAUACUCCUAAUAAUAUAAAAGGUGCCUACAGCAUUAUAUCAUAUAUUAUCUACUAUCCAUUAAUUAGGAUAAGGAGCACUUGUUCUUAAUAAUUGUUCUUGAUGAUCGAAUUCGAAUCGAGAUUGGAGCCAUUUGAAGUUGAAAUCUAGACAUUUGAAUAAUCUAAAAAUAAAUCUUCAUAAAUUUUCGAUAAUAGUGUACAGGUGAUCAGAUUGUCGUGAAUAUCCGACAAUUUUUGACGGCCUAAUAUGAGACAGUUUGCUUGCUUUAAAACGGUGUAAGAGCAAUUCCAACCUUCUUGAAAUUUGUUAAUCGAAACUUCUCUUAUACUAUUUAGAUAAUGUUUGAUAAACUCUAAUUACGAUAGAAACGUCUAUGACUGCCUAUUUUAAGAAGUUAUUUCAUUUUGACCGUUAUCAUUUUUUUCAACUCCUUAAGAGACUUGAUAAUUGAUUUUUAAAUAUUACAAAAUUUGUUUCUAAGGCAGUUCUAAAUUGUGUAGAUCAACCUUGCAUGGUGCCGAUUAUCAAUUUGAAAGUUCCGAUGCAUAUCAAACUGACUUGAUAGGACAAGAUGUCUCAAAUCCUAUAUUGAAUAGGAUAGUAAGCCGGACCCUAUAUAUAUAAUAUAUAUAUAUUAUAAAAUAGAAUGAGCCGCUAUGCUUUAAAAAGUACAAAGUCAUAUGUGUUGUGUGCGGUUAGAUAAUAUGCGAUCCCCUAGUUUAGUGGUUAGUUGUUGAAUUGUAUAAUCUAAGCAGGUGAAAAGUGAUCAAAGGCGUAUGAUAAUAACGGUAAAAAAUUCACGAAGCACCGAGAAACGAGCAAGUGGAUUGGUGCCUUCUUAACAAGCCCAUAGCCGAUAUUAUAUAAUAUAUAUAUAGUAUAUAUAUAUUAUAUAUAUAUUAUAUAUAUAGACAUUAGUACACACACACAACACACACACUAACAUACUACUUGCUAAACAGAAAGUUUUUUUUUAUUUUUUCCAAUGUUGCCACCGCCCUACCAAUAUGGAAGCUUUGGUUUGCUAGCAUAACUUUAAAACAGUUAAGAUAUAGUUUCUUCUUUUUUAAAAAUAAUUAGUAUUAUCCUUAACAAUAACAUAAUUUGACAGUUUUUUAGACAUACGUGGCACAGUUUCUUGUGCUUCCACAUCUUGCACCCAACAAGGAAGGAUCCAAAUGGUCUUGCUGCCUUCACAAUUGUUUGACCAGGCUCACUCCUUGGCAACCUUCCAAGGUUGAAACAGACCUCCUUCCGGCAAGAUGCUACUUUGCUCCUUUUCAAGUAUUUUACCAUCCUUCCAAGAGAUUUUGUCUCAUUCCGUAAUGUCUUAACCAAGUUACAAAAGAUAUUGAGGUUUCCCAGACAGCUUUUAGCCUCUUUCUCAAAGUUACAAGGACCUUCUCCAAAAUGUGAGGUCCAAAAAAAAAAAAAAACAAAACAAAAAAAUCUUAUUACCACGCCUGGAACUCCCUAUCUCGAUCUCUAUGCUCUCUCCCGCACCUCUCUUGCUCAUCAUCUCUCUUCUCUCUAAGGUGCCCGCCCUACCAAUUUCUUCUCUCUCCCGUCCUCCUCCAAAAACCCUCGUCCCAUUCUCCCUCUCUUUCUACUCCCAGCUGGCCCCCCCCCCGACUCCUCCUCUCCCUCCCCCUACUCUCUCUUACUUCUCUCGUCUCUCUCUCUUAUCCGUCCUUCUUCUAUUCUUCUCUCUCUCGAUCGAAACCUUUUCAUGCGUUCAGCCCGGCCUUCNNNNNNNNNNNNNNNNNNNNNNNNNAGGAUUGGUAUCGGUCCUCGUCCGACUGACCAUCGCUCUGAGGAUGAAAAAGCAUAAUGAAACACGACCGUGUUCAAGAGCAUUGCAAGGUUCUUCAAGACUGCAAAGUAGACGAGGUUCGAUGCCGAACAGCAAUUUGAUACGCGGAACACAAUGUAGUCGGAUCCACCGUCAUCCCAAAUAAACUCGGUGCAAGUUUAUCACGGUCUGUGUAUCCAAUUGUGUGUGUGGGAUGCGCAUGAAUUGCCGGUGAUUCGGGAUGCUGAUCCCAGGACGCACGCGCAUAUUGCAGUCGGACCGGCCUGAGAACGGAGGUAAACCCCAGCUACCAGUGCCAUAAUUCACGUCCUCGCCAUUUCACACGGGGAUUGGUAAACUUUUGUAGCUCCGCAGGAGUCCGAGUGUUCGCCUCCACGCUUGUUGGUCACAGCAAAGCAUUGGCCACACAAGGCGCACCCCAAUAUCCUUCUUCAUGCUCGGGCCACCACAUAAUGUUUCUCAAAUCCUUAUAUCAUCGUAGUGCCACCCGAUGUAUGCUAAUAGGAUUGGUGGUGCUUACUGCAUGAAUCAUCGCUCGCGCAUCCUCAUGCACUAGUGAACACAUAAUGCCUCAGAAAGCCCGGAUUGGCCAUCGCGGAGCGCAACUUGAAGAUGCAUUCGGCGAUGUCCUACCACUCAACGAUUACCGUGCACUGGCUUUUGAGGAUAUGAAUUGUAACUGUGAUCUAACUCUCUCCAACAAGGUCGGGUGCGCACCACCUAACUUGCAAUAUCAACAAUUGGAACGUCUGAGCUACCACUUCCCAAUUGAAAGCCACAAUUCUCGAAGCAAUGGCGGUUGUUAUAAUCCAUAUUCAGGUUUUUGCGGCAAUAUUUUCCAGCCGAUCACAUUUUUUCACUAUUACUCAACUGUCAAUUCGUCGGCACACCACAUAGCCUGACUGUACCAAGAUCAAUAGGUAGAUAAUUUUGAGAUACGAAUGAGAGUCAUCAUAAACUUUCACAAGCACAUAUUUCAAGAAGCGAAACACACAUUCUUCACCGGGCUUCAACUCUUUUUUAACAAAUCCGUAACAUAAUCUUCACACAAAUUUAAAUUUCUUUUUUGCUGUUAUAAAUCAGAUUUACCACUCCUAUGUUGGAUCUGCGUUCAUCAUUCCGAGGUUGACCAGAGACCUUCGCAAACUGCUGAAAUCAUAAACAUGAUUUACUUUGCAUCCCGUGGUCAAUGAUAGGAGUGUAAUGUGGCCCACUGUGAAAGCCCCCAUUUUCGGCAAAUGGAGUGUCUCCACAACUGCGUGCGAAGACCACCGGCAGCGACCCAACCUCGAGAUCGCAUGGGUUGGAUAAUUUUAUCAUAAGGCCUUCAAUCUGUCUGGAAUCAGAGUGACAAUAACUUAAACUUGCGGGUCCGACCUCGGGGUUCACGUUCGCACACGGAUACUUAAUUCGCGAGAACAAUGCGAGCAGAGUGACAGUGCGGAACCCAAAUUGCGCCUUAUACCUCUCCUUAGAUACCAGUCCGUCAACGGCCGACAUAUCUCCAUCACCCGAGGAGAGGCACGGCGGUGAAGGCUAUAACCGGGACCAGGCCGUGGAUUUCAGGCCCCUUGCCAUAGAAAUUUUAUUUUAAUUUUUUAUUUUUAAAGUUUAGUAUAAUCUUUAGUCAAUCAUAAUAUAUUAUAAUAUCCACUUCAACCAGACUAUUUUAUUUAGAGAAUUAACACACUUAAUCUCGACUUAAAACAUGCAAAAAAAAUUAACAAAUAUAUUCUAUAAGUAAAUAUUAUUCUAUUUUAAAGUAAAAAAUAAAUUUUAUUAUUUAAAUUCAGCAUUUGUAGUUAAGUUUAUUUCUAAAUGAAACUAAAACAGCGGCGAAAAGCUACACUCGCUAUUUUGAGUAAGUAACGGUUAUCUUGGCUCAUAUAUAAAUAUAUAAGACAAGAAAAUACUUAAUUCCAUCAGAGACCGAUCUAAAUAAUAAUGUAUUCCGCAAGGCAUUAUAUAUACAAAUAAAAAACUCUCUUAAAAAUCUAAAUAUGAUAAAAACCAAAUGAUUUGCUACAACGCGGUAACUGUGAUAUGAAAUUUAGGUGUGCCCAAUUAUAUCUUUUAUAUCAGUAUAAAAUAGUCCUAUCACCACCUUAGCCACCGACGAUGCAAAUCCGACAAAACUUCGAUUUUUGAUAGACACAUCAUCAAAACAACCUUUGGUAGCACAAGCCUCUGUGCUAUCGGUAGUAUACGCCCAGCCUACACUCUCUCUCCGUCUCGUCUUCCCGUCACCGAAUCACAUGCUCAAGGAAUGCAACUUCCGAAGCCAACAUCCCCCCCCCCUGCAUUUCUUUCACACUCUCUUCGUACUAAAUAAAUAUUCAUCCUUACCUAAUAAGUUAAGUUGUACACAGAGUCCUUCCUCAGGUGCCUUGGAUUCUAUCGAUAAGUACGAACAUUUGGUCUCGUAAUCACAUACUCACUUUUCUAUCAUUUUGGCCGUUAGAUUUAUCUCUUUUACCGAGAGUAGAUUUCACUCAAAUUAUUCAUUCGCUUUGACUAUCACUAUUUCAAGACUACCACACAGAAAACGAUCCAAGUAAGACUUGAAGACACGUUCAUUAAGUCCUAACAGCCGCCGGGCAUUCGUGAGCCUACAAUGCAUAACCGUGAAUUAUAGUGCCACCAACUCCCACCCCAUACUCUAAGGCCCGUCACAUCGGAUACCUAUCUUAAUAUCUACAUCCUACCGACUCGCUUAAACCUCAUCUCAACUCCUGUUUUAAAUAUACAAAGACCAGAAAUUUAAUAGUACCAAAUACCUUGUUAGCUAUGUGGAAGUAGUCAUUUUCUUAUCGCACUAAUUCUAUAUAUAACUCAUAUGUAUUAUGACCUCGCAAGGCAGGAAACUAUUCAAAUAGGCAGGAAGUAUUUGGUGCUAUUAGGUUCUUUCGGAUCAUGAUCUAAAGAAAUGUACGGUUACGAGAGAUGAUGUGGAAGCCCCACUAUGUCGUGUCAUAAAUGAAUCGGAAGGCAACGGGUAUUGUGCUUUUUAUAUAGUGACUAUUAGCUAACCAGGAUGAAACAUUAGUCAAACGGAGUAUAUAUUGAAUCAACCGCGAGUCGGACAAAGCAUGAUAGAGAGACAUGAAUCUCCCUAUGCUCUGUCUUCUUUACAAACACACCGAUUGAUAGUACGGGGCUCCCACGUGAUCCAAAAUCCCGGAACUAUAUAAUACAAAUACACAGUUAUUAUGUAGAAAGGUCUUGCUAACUUAGGACCUUUAAUUUACAUUAUCUAAACUAUCACGUUACUGGGGGUAUAUAUAUAUAUAUAUAUUAAUGCGUAAUAAGUAACUUAGAAAUCGAUAUACUCUGAUCACUAGUCUACCUAGUAGGAAUUAAAUUCUAUCAGCUAAAAAUUCUAGAUUCAUCCCUUGAUCCCGGUGGCUAAAUACCCUAGUAGUAAUUACGCGGAGCGCUAAAUGAAUCCAAGCGCGACGAUCACACUCUAUAGAACUAUCUACCGAGAGUUGAAAGUAAUCUAAUACACUACUUUUGACGAGAUUCUUCUUGAGUAUACGAUUUCCUUAGAUGGACUUCAAGCGACGCCUAAAAUCAACAAGCUGAAAAGAAAAAUAUUAAAUAUGAUGAUAAUGACAUUAAAAUUUUCAGCGACUCAAAUACGUUAUGACCUUUUGUUUAAUAUGUGCUAAAUACUUCUUGCUCUUGACAAAAAUUGUCGCGUAACAAAUCAAAAUUUCAUGUGAUUUUGGUGAAUUUACUUAGUCAUAGAUCUAGUCAAAGACAGCGAGCCUUUGUAACAAUUUCGCAAACUAAGGCACAAACCCACGCUUUCCAUCUGACCAGUAAAAUUAUUGAUUUUGAAGCGCCCUUUCACCAAAAAAGUGAUCACCUUUGCUUUACAAUCUAUGUGCAUGAUACUUACAGCCAAUCGAUUCCAAGGUACUGAUGUCGAAAGCGCCUUCAUCGAUCACUAGGCAACAGGUGAUGAAAUACAAAGCAAAGUCAACUGGCAUGAUCCCAAAUCGCGAAAAUCACAAAAUAUGAUCUAUCACUCUUCUACAGUACUCAAAUACAUUCAUCCUUGACUCUAAAUGUGUCUCAGGUGCAUCCACCCCACAAAAGUCCGCACACACUAUGGAGUCAAUAUCAAUAGCUGCAAGUUGCAAGUGUAUUCGAUCGAGAGAAAUUGCUAAUAAGUCCGAAAAAUCAAUUGAAUAUCCAAUUUGGACAACGUUGUCAAACUCAACUCGCGCGCUAUUCCAUGAAGACUAAUAUACAUGAACCAACAAUUAAUACCUAUGCUCAACUAACAUUAUAUAUCGGUCUAAUCGACAUAGGACUCCAUACCGAGCUAUGAGCAGGCAAGAGAAGAGAAGUACGUGAGCACCGAAGAUGAUGAGCGCCGAGAGAGCCUAUCUCUGUGCUUUCAAAGAGAUAUGAAAUGCCUCGCUGACGCGGCCACCAUCGGGUUGCUCCAGUAGACAUGCGGGGGCAUGCGCGCUGUGACUGUCGCGGAGCAGCGGAGGCCGAAGCAGAAGUCGGAGCCGUGACUCACGCAUUGGUGUGAUGCCCAAACUCCAAGGGUGCAGCGCGAGUGUCACCCACAUCCUAGGACGUACACUCCCUCCCUAGUGUUGCGCACGCUUAACACACUCUCUGUGAGAACCAUACUUCCUGUGCUAGACCACGCCGCGACCCAAAACUGACACUUAGAUCAGUGCGCGAGUUAAGAGUCAUAGCCCUAUAUAUCUAUAUAGGACUACUUUGAUGUCUCACAAGUAUCUCUCAUCUUCUCUUACAACGCAAACGUACGCAGAUUUGUAUCGCGCGUCUCAAGGACUCAGUAUCUUCAUCACACUAUCAGGCGUUGUUCAACUCUUGUCUUGGCUACCUUGUCAUUCUGACCGGCUUACCGCGGAUACUCGGGGGCUUGUGUACCUUCUGCAUGAUCCAGCGGCCAGACAACUAGCCGAACGCGCCGCUUUACUAUAUCACAUCUGCUAUCACACUUAUUGACUUGAUAAUUGACUAUACCGAUACCUCCCUUAUCAUAACUGUGAUCCCGACUUAGACGCCCGCGCGGUGACCCUAUCCUAGGACUGACUACUCCGUCUACCUUUAGCGAGUCUCACUUGCGCAUAUUCCUUAACCUCCUUACCUAUCCAAACCAACUCUAUCAAACACCUCAGUAAAGGCUUCAACCUUAAGGUGCUCGCCGCAUAGAUCUCGCGGGGAAAGUCCACGCUCAAGCAAUCGCCUUGUCUUCGUCACUACAAAAUGCUUAAGCCGGACUAUUGGGGUCUCACAAGAGCCUCUGUUGCUAUAAUUGUUUUCGGAUGAUAGGACAUCCGGAUUCAAUCGACUUCGCCUCCGUUAAGGUAUAACUAAAUCUCGAGACUAGUAUCACACCAAAGUAAGUGUAACAGUCAAUAAUAUCAGCAACAGAGGAAUGUAAUCACCCCCAGUCGAACAUAUAAUUUUCCGUCCUGUGAACAGUGCGAUGCCCUUGCUUAACGUCGGAUCCUCGAACUUCGAGCCUUCCCUCUGCCUGCUAUCCUUUCUUCCACAUACUAUCCUAUACGCCUCCGCCCGUCGAAGUGAACACCAUAUAUCAUAGCAAGUCCUCUGGCAAUCUCCCUCUCCCACAUUCAUCGGGGGUAAUGUAGGGGAGGAUCGACGAGUCGCCUUCCACCAAACACUAUAGCGGACUUCUCGAGGACCGCCAAUGCACAAGCUAUCACUCGCAUUCCUUUAUGCCUUGCUCAGGUAUAGAGCGAUCCCAGUCCCAAACAACUUUCUCUCGGCACUGCCGUCAUCAUACCCCACCACGAUACCUCGCUAAUCCCUAUCAUACCGCACCCCGGAUAAACAGCAAGGACCAAAUCAACGGCCUGGAGGACACGGAGUAGGUAAGCACCGUGAAAUAGGCGGAGAAGAAACUUCCGUUAUGAAUGCGGGGAGGACAGACUCGAGGCGGUGCUCGUGCCCGCUACGGGCCGGCGGACAAGCAAUACACGCCGCGAGAGAUGAGCAGGAUGGGGUAGAGGCGAUACAGAUGAGGCAAUUAUGUUGGUCAUUUUGAAAAUUACACGUAUAGCGUAAGAAGUUUACCUAUUAAGUCACCUUUAUUUUUUGAAAGGCGAAACAACAAGUAAAUUUUUGAGGACAAGGAAAACUCUUUAAUAUACCACAGAGAGGAGAUACUGUUCUUUAACAGCUUCAAACUAAGCAAAAGAAAAAAGAAAAUCACCAACCCAUAGACAUGGAGAGGUGAGCUAUUAAAUAUAAAAUCAUAUAAUAAUACCUGCAUUCUCGGUAAAGCUUAAGCUUUUUAAGAGUACUGGUUGUUUCAACCAGAAAAGUGAAAAAGUGGGAAAAAAUUUUAUAAUACAGUCAAAAAAAUUAUAAAGCAACAGCGUAGCAUAAAGUAAUUACCUUUAAUCCGAGAUGGCAAUCGUGCUGGCUCAAUAAGCUUAAACCUAAUUAUAUUACCUAUAUUAUUAUAGUGUAGGCCUAUAUAUGAUGGGAGUAUUGGAGACUUCUGGCUGUCAGUUAGUACGAUACCUAAUUGUACAAAUCUGAUCCGUUAUACUAAUACACUCUUUGAGAACCCCAAACGACGGACAAAAAUGCUUAAACCUAUGAUUUGUUCUUAUGAGGCUGUUGUAGGCCCUCAUAUAUUCUAAUAUAGAAUCAUUUUUCACUGAUUGGGAUAUUGGGGCAUUUACUAAUUAUAACUACAUGUUUGGAGAGAAACUAAAACGGAGAGAGAAUAAAAAAAAUGAUUGGUGGUUGAGCGAAGUAAGAUUAAUUAAUUUUGUAAGCUAUUACCAACAAAACCAUUCCAUUUGACUCACCUUAGUUAUCUGUAAUAACUAUUAUAAUAGAACAGGUUCAACAUGAGGAAACUAAAAGGCUCUUUGCUCCUAAAAAAAAGAGUAACAUAACUACAUUUCUGACCCCUCACCCUAUCAGCCGUGUAACACUUCGAGGUCUGGCUGUAUAACUUUUGUUUGUUCUGAAAUGUUCGCACAUCUCAAUUACGCUACAAACUGCCAACUUUAGUUGCUAAUAGAAAAUUUUGAUGACAUGAUAGUAAUAUUUAAUUAUUCCGAUUAUCAAUCAUUCACUACUUCUAUAAUCAACAAUUUCUUAUAUUUAGAAGUAAAAUAGAUGUGGACUUAAAUUGUAAAAGCUCAUAGUAAAAUAAGAGAUUAAAUAAAAGACGCAAAUUGUCACGGCGCUUUAUCCAAUUUCGGGGACCGCUAAGGUCGUAAUCUCAUCGAGCAACUAACCUAUCUCCCCAAUUUCUUAAUUUGUUGGCAUCCUCUGCUGUAAUCUAUCUCAUACUUUCAAUUCAAUACUGUAAUUAUAUAUAUAUAUAUAUAUAUAUAUAUAUAUAUAUAUAUAUAUAGUAUGAAAUCGGCUACUAUGCUUAUUGAGGAGUACAACAGCCCUUAUCUCCUAACUUUUCUAACCCAUGCAAGUGAUGUAGUUAUAUCAAGAAAGAGAGGAAGAAGAUAUUUGGGAGAACCAAUAUCUCUUCCCUCUCUUAUCUAUAACACUACUCCAUCAACAUUAAUGGGGGGUUAGAAAGUUAUGACACAAAACUGCUGUCCCUCCUAAUAGCACAGUAGGCCCUACUAUAUAUAUAUAUAUAUAUAUAUAUAUAUAUAAUCACCUAAUAUAGGUACGUAGGCGUACGCAACCAGCUAAUAGUAUUGAAGACGUGUAGGCUUAUACUUAGUAUAUAUUAUAUAUAUAUAUAAUAUAAGGAUCGGUAUCUGCGAAUAUGACAAAUAUUGUUUGGUGCUGAAGUGACAAUUUUUGUUACCGUAAAUAAUUUUUUUGACAACAGAUUAUUGCAUUUCACUAACCGCAAGUGUAUGAGAACAGAAACUUCAAAAUCCAUUUCGAUCAGCAUACAACAUAUUAUUGCAUAGCUUUACUGGUAUGUAUACAAACUUCUACAACUUCUAAUAUAUAUGAUGAUCUUAGUGUGUCUCAAUUGCCAGCAAAAAACUUGUAGUACAUCUUGUCAAUCAUGUAGAAGUAAGUAUUUUUCCAUGCAGAUUUGAAGAGCAAGACACCGUAAACCCCCCAAAGCCCCACAAUAAAUCCCAACCCCGUAGCAAGAAAAAUUUCUAUGUUCUCCAAGCCACCAUUGUGUUGUUUCGUCUCAUCAGGAGUAUAUGUCGGUUCAUUUCCGGAGCAAUUCUUCAAAAUAGGGGGACCGCAGAGAUAGGGAUUGCCAGCAUAUAUAGUAGGAUCAACCAGUGUCUGCAUUUGAUCUCCAGAUGGAAUCCUUCCUGAGAAGUUAUUGUACGAUAAAUUCAAGCUGCUCAGAGAUGUCAAGGCCGUUAUACUUUGGGGGAUGGUUCCAUUUAAUUCGUUUAUAGAAAGAUCGAGAGACUCCAAAGAUUGUAAGUUUCCUAUCUUAUCAGGAAUCCUUCCCUUUAAGUGAUUUCUUGGUAAGUUCAAAUUGUGCAGCGCUGAUAGAUCGGCUAAUUGCUCAGGAAUCACACCACAAAGGUUGUUACCUGAGAGGUCCAUGCUCUUCUCAAGAUAGAGGUUCUUAGAAAAUUGAAGAUCCAACCCUUUUGUUGCAAUAUUUAAUCUUUAACUGGAAAAAUUUUGAUUCAACAUGUAACCUAAUAUAUGUCCAUCGAUUGUUUGUAUUACAUCAAAAAUAAAAUAAACCAAAUGUAUAUUAGCCAUGUAUUUAGAUAACUUGGUUGAAGCCAUUGCAUGGAAAUUACCAAAAGAUUGAGGUAUGUUUCCUGAUAGAUUGUUCCAAGAAAGAUCCAAGAUUUGAAGAUUCUCAAGUUGUCCGAGCUCUGCAGGAAUGUUGCCGGCAAACAUAUUUGACAUCAAUCGAAGAAUUGUAAGAUUUGUUAACUUUCCUAGCCAUGUAGGAAUCUCACCCGAUAAAUUGUUUUGCCCAAGAUCAAGUAGUACUAAUGGGCAAUACUGUAAAGAAGAAGGAAGUUUUCCAUUUAUGGUGUUAUUGUUUAAGUGUAAGAACUCAAGAUUACGGACAAAGCCCAAUGAAUCAGGAAGUUGUCCUGAUAGCUGUUAAUUGGAUAAGUUUAUAAUAUAUAGAUCCUUUGAUGGCACCAUACCAGCAAUUUGGCAGCUCACCAAAUAAUUUGUUGGCUCGCAUGUCAAGUUCGAACAAAGAAUUGGCAUUUGCAUAUAGAAAAUGAUGGGAAUCCAUCACUAAGUGGGGAAUUGUAUUCGAGGAACGAACGGUGAACAGAUUUGCUUGAAAGAAAGACCAAUGGAAGUGAUCCAAAAAACAUAUUGUUUGAGAAGUCAGGCCAAUCAAGAAACCCGGCAAAGAUGGUAGAAUCCAUGUAAAUGGUUGACCUAACUUUAAAACUCUUAUGAUGUCAUAUUUCCAGAGAAAAUGGCAACAUGCCGCUAUUUGGUUAUUAGAAAGGUCUAACGAUCGCGAUAGAUGAAGUAUGUUCCAAAGCCAAUAAGUGAAUAGGUCUGUGAUCCAUUAUCUGACAAGUAGAGUUCAAUUUCUUGUUGGGCAAUCGGAGCCAUCUUGCAACGUUGGACGCAAUCGACAUGAGCUCAAAACUAAUUCUUGCACUUGAAAAGGAGCACCGCAAUUAUCUCGACCUUAACUCAGAGAGAUGUAGUCACUCCGCCAUAGUGAACUUUAUCCUGUGAAGUUCAUAAGAUGAGUUUCAAGCAUAUCCCGAGAGUUUCCGGCACCUCAUGCCGAAGAUUGGCAGUAGGAGGCAAUCUCCACAACACAGGGCCGUGGACGAACCGGCUCUGAUACCAAUUGUUAUCGUAUCUGACUCAGCCAAACCCGUCAAUGAAUGAUAAUUCCGCUGAGACGAAGGACGGCGUGGCAGGAUGAUGGCUACAUCAAAUCGUAUCUCGAGAUUACCCCGCCCAUAUACUGUACGAGAUAACGAAUAAGAGGGAGACGGAUGGGAUUUGAGGCGACAAAAGAGAGAUGAAGAGAGAGAUAGAUCGGAUAAGAUGUUGAGGCUAGAAGAGAGGAAGGCAGAAGAUAAUGAAAUAGGGCAGAGACUAUAACAAUAUUUCCAUAAAAAUCUAGUUAGGUUUACAAUUUGCUAUUUGUUCCCCUAUAUAAUGGACUAAAAUGCGAUUAAUAAAACUAAACAUUGCUAAUUGAGAACGAAUUAUAAAUUGGGGCCUCUCUGCCUCCGUCUUGGGUCGAAUUCGAUGGAAUCGUGGGCGCUGUAAAGAAACCGAUUCUGCCGCAAGGAUCGCCUGUUGCAGGUAAGUGGGCCUCCCGGGUCCUUCUCCUCCCAAUAUCCACAAUCCGCUGGUCGCUGGCCGCCCCUUUUACCUCACCAUCUCGGCUCCGACCGCGAAGGUUCGCACCUGCUCCGAAGCUUCUACUACUCCAUCACAAUCGCCCUUUGCUGUACCACUCCCUAUGAAAAACUCCUGCUCCUUCUCGAAUCACCAUGGUGACCUGUUCGUGCUCCAGGCUCCCACAAGGAAAAGCUUAAGGCUUCAUUAUCUCUUCCCUUAAAAUUAUCCAAUUCCCUAUUUACUCUGUCUACCUCUAACCCUUAACUCCUCUCCUACUUGGCAAGAUGCAAACAGAAUUUUAAUUAGAUUUAAUUUUUUUUGCAAAUUGAACCUUAAUUUUUUUGGCAAAUUGAACCAAAAUCGAGCUGAUAAACCCUUAGCCAUGACAAAGGUUUUUUUUCUUUUUUUUGUUUUUUUUUUUGGUGAGGUGUGAAACCGAGAAAAUGUGGUAAAAAAGUUGCUGGACUUGGAGUCAUCCCACAAUAAGCAGGCCACUUUUUUAGUGGGCUUGAUCUUGACUUCCACUUUUAACGUAAACAUCAAGAUAUAAAUUAAGUGCUCAACUGGAACUUUUUGUGAACUGCUUAUGCAAUUAUGCAGGUCAUGAUAUUACAUCAUUGGAUAAAACUUCAAAUACGGAGCGAAUUAUUAAUGUUUGACUCAGUGUAUCUGUAACAUCCAUGACACUGGCACCCGCAUAUAUUUGUGAUAAUAUUCUAAAUCAAAUCUAAUAAUAACCCAUCAAAACACCAUAGCGUUGAGUAUGAAAUAGAUUCUGUUCUGUUUAAGAGAAUGGUGUCAAAUUUUUAUAAUUUUUUAUUUAUAGGUCGCUUUAAAUUUAUAGAGUAUAUUAGUUAAUUUGAUUUAAUUUUGUGACCUGUCCUCAGAGAUUCGAAGAGUAAACGAUGUAUACAAAGGUUGGGAGAGUUCCGACCUUAUCCUCCAUUUAUUUGGCGGAUCGAAAUAGUUCGGUGGCGGUUAAUUUUUACUAUACACUUCAUUCGCGAGUGCUGGUCAGGAAAAAACAAAUGAGAAAGCAGAUUUUGACAGAUCAGGAUAAAUUAAGGAAGAUAUAGAUCCCACCUUUCACGGUCCAUUUUUUCACAAUCAGUUUUUCAGGACGAAUUACCUUUUUCUAUUUUUCACCUAGUAUCAAUCUCAUUCGGGCUGACAAAGUUAGAAACUGGAUUUAUUUAGGCGGAUAGAAACUCUAAUAAGUUUGGCGUUUACAAGUCAGAGCAAAAAAAAAGGAAAAAAGAAUUUGUAGGUAACCCGUAUACCACCUGCCCACCCUGCGGGCGGCGUACAGGUAAACAUGUUGGCCAUCCAAAAAAUUACAAGUAAAUUUAAAAUCCAUGCCCAUAUAACCCGCAGGUGAAAAAGUAUGAUAAAAAAAAUAAUUUAUUUAUUUUCGUAUGUAAUAUUGGCGUUAGCAUAUAUCACAUAUGAAUCGGUUAACAAUAUAUUUUCUCGCGGUCCGGAGAAUGCAGAAGCCAUAUCCCUAUAUAUUUUUAACCCCCCCAACUCUAUUUUAUCUAAUAGCGUAAGAUGCCACAAAAUCGUAAGAGAACACGAGACUGGUUAUCAAUUAUAUGAAAAGAUGCUAUAGCUUCUUUUGACCCCCACACUGUGGCAUCUUGGCUUGAGUGGUAAAAAAAAAAAAAAAGAAGGGCAUUAUGGUCUUUUUGGGGUUGGUGGAUAAGUAGGGGUGGCAAUCUAGGGGCUGCUGUUCGGAGCCACUCGUGUCGCGUGCGAAAUGAGCUCUGAGACGUCUCGCAUCGUUUAUUAAACGAGCUCGAAUACGAGCUGGAUUUUUUCAGCUGCGUUUAAAAACGAGCCGAAGCACUAAGCUGGGGUCAGCUCCGCCGUCAGUGUUCGCUCGAUAACAGGCUCGAAUACAUAUAUUUAUAUUUAUAUAAUUUAUAUUUUAUAUAUAAAUUAAAUAAUUAUAUAUAAAUUAUAUUUUUUUUUAAUCAUCUAAUUUUUAAAAAAAAUAAAAUAUAAAUCGAACUUAAAUAUAAAAGACUUAUUUAUAUGUAUUUUAACUAUUAAAUCAAAGUCCUAAUGAAUAAGAUUUAUACAAUUUAUUUUUUAUAUAUAUUUAAUCUAAUCCUUUUUAAUUAUUGUUCUUGGUCAACUCGUGAGGGCCAGCUCGUGUUCCGCUGCCGUUUAUUAACGAGCGAACACGACUGAAUUUUCGCUCAAUACUUUAACGAGCCCAGCUCGUGUUCGACUCGUUUAAUAAACGAGCCGAACGAGCUCGACCCCAGCUCCGCCUCGUGUCGGCUCAUUUACAGCCCUAUGGAAAGCAUGCCAACAACUCCCUCUUGAUAUUUAUCACUCUACCUGUCUGAGGGAUAAUUAUCAUUUUCUUUUACUCUCAGAACUUGAAUCGUGGCUUGGAGAGAUUUAUGGCUCCAUUCGGGUGAUUUUCGAACGUCGCCGCUGGGGAGCGCGUCGAGGCACUACGUGCGUCGGGCCGCGAGUUUAGCGAGGAGGCCGGGCGAGGAGGAGUGUUUUCGUCGUUCUCGACGCCGUGCCGGAAUUGGAGUCGCUGGUUGAGGAUCUUGUGCGUCGACUGUUAGAUUUCAGCUCGUACGCUAGACGUAGAGCAUCGAUUUCGACGAGAUUUGGUUGCGUUUGGAACCGGGACUGUCGAGACGAAGAUUCUGAGCCAAGAAUCGCAAUUUUUGGAAGCAGGUCCAGCGUCGAGCGUAUUCGUAUUCUGGCCCGUUUCUGCGUAGGACGUCGAAUUCAGCGAAACCUGGCCAUUUGGAAAUUCCGUGCUUCGAGAGCGUAAGCUUCAGGAACCUUGUUUGCCUGAAUUUGGAUAAGGUUAGCUUUGGUCGAUUAACACUUUCUUCGCUGCCAGGAGGUUGCUUGAGAGGUGGGUUACAUGCGGCUUUUACUGCUAAGUUCAUAUUCCGUCGGGCAUGUAUAGAUUUCGACCUUUGGAUACUCUUAUUCUAGCUCGAAUUCAUCGAAUUAUAUUGUAGGUGCAAAUCUGAAUUUGAGGCAAUGUGUAAUAAUUAAGUAGGUUAUACAUCGUUUGGACUUGAAAAUUGAAUUAGGAGAAAACCUGCGAUUUGGACCUGUCACUUGUUUAAACUGCCUGAUAUUAGCUCUGAAGGAGCCGUUAUUAAAAUUGUACUAUAUCGCAGUAUCUUCGAGAUGAGUACUCCACGGUAGUUUAGUUCACAAUUUAGCUCGUCUGGUGCGCCGAGUGGAUUUACAGGAUCGGUCAAAUUGUUCCGGGGACUGGGGUGCCGUCGAGUUGACGUGACCCGUAUCGCCUUUUGGGAGUCAGAUUGUCCGAGGGCACAUUACCUGUUGGUGGGUAGAUUCAAGUUGACGUGGUUACUUGACUUUGGCUUUUCCAAGAGCCUGUUUGAGCUCGACAGAGCAUACGGCUGUAUACUCGUUGGGUAGCGCCCACGAGUGCCCUACCGGAGCUCAGGCUUUGUGCUUUCGCGUUGGUGUCGCGUCAUUGCCAGUUGGACUUGCUCUCCCACAGAGCAGAUUGGGUUGGGGGUAGCUGGAGUCCGCACGGGGAGAGACGGGUGUAUCACAGUCCCAAGGGAGGGUAUGUUUACAGUUGAUUGGAAUUGGUCAGAUUUGACAUUUCCUACAGUUGGUGUGUUAGAGCAUGAUAGUGUAGUGAUUGAUAGCAGUAGAGUGUACUUCGCUCCUGCUUUCUACUAUUUAUUGCUCCCUUCUGUAGACUUAGUGGGUAAGACGAUGUUGUUUGGGCGGCAACCGCAACUGAGUGACUACCUGUUUUUAAUACAGUAGUUCUCACUGCCCAGUUGUUACUGCUGUUUGGCAAAGCCACGGUGCCGGCUGCUGCAAUGCUUCGCCGACGCAAGGAUCGAGGUAAGGGCGUUUGCGAGCUAUGAGCCCUACCCAGACAGUCAAGAGCUAAGAGGCUAUUUCACUACUGCAGGUAGUUGUUUUUGGCAAUUUUACGUAUAUAGUUGUUUAAUGCUUGCAGUGCGAGUAACCUUGUAUAUUUGGAUCUAGGCUAUGUAUAUGAAACUCAGUUAUUUAGGUUUUUUUGAGCAGCUCUAUGCUACCUGUUAGUAUCGUAUUUCUAUCAGUACUUUGACGCUUGUAUACAAGGAAAAUUCUUUGUAUACGGCGAUUUGUCGGGCGUGCACCNNNNNNNNNNNNNNNNNNNNNNNNNAUUGCCCCUUAUUGGACUCUCCCCUAGCUUAUUUAGCACGAUACGAAUGGUUUUGGGUAAAUCCUACGUACUAUAUCCGGUGUAAGUAAUACUUUUCUCUUUUCACACAACUUGACCUAACUUUGGGUAGACAAUUUAUUGAGUUUUGUAAUUUAAUUAUCUAACUCGUAAUUUGUUUUACAAUCCAUUUUAAAAUCAAAUCUAAAUAGCAUUCAAGUGAUUCAAAUUUAGAGAAAUUGAAUUCAGAGCAAUUAAGGGUGACUAUUUUUGCUUGGAAUAAAUUGGAAUUUAAUAGAGUUCAACUCCAAAUUAUUGUUUGCAAUGGAAUAAAAAGUCGUUUUAGUAUGUCGAUGUCUCCUAAUAUAUAUCUUUAUUUAAAUUGAAAGAAAAUUAAUAUCCAUUAAUUUUGGGAAGGAAUUAUUGGGACAACGAAUACAUAAUAACUCUCAGUGAUUUAAUUCUUACCGAACCAAAAUCAAUUGAAGGAAUUUGAUCCUAAUUAAUUAGCAUCGUUGGUUUAUACUAACAAUCACUGUUUAAAACACUUGGUUUUUUUUUUCUUACUGAAAAAGGCUAUUUAUGAGAUCGAAAGUUCGGCACAGCAUUGAUGCUUCAAAAAAUUAGGGACUCGAUCACCCCUAACUUUUCACAUAGUACCUUAGCAUUUAAUCAAAAGCAAUAUGAUAAAUAUAAUAAUUUUAUACUGAAACAAUGUUUAAAGAUAAAUUAUCUUUGUACUUGAAAAUUAUCUUUGUACUUGACUAUCUUUACUUGACUAUCUUUUGAAUGGAUGCCAUUAUUACUACAUGACAUAGUCUUUUUUUAUUUAUAUAUAUUUUUUUGAGGUGUGAAACCGAGAAAAUGUGGUAAAAAAGUUGCUGGACUUGGAGUCAUCCCACAAUAAGCAGGCCACUUUUUUAGUGCUUGAUCUUGACUUCCACUUUUAAACGUAAACAUCAAAUAUAAAUUUAAGUGCUCAACUUGGAAUCUUUUUGUGAACUGCUUAUGCAAUAUCAGGUCAUGAUAAUUACAUCAUUGGAUAAAACUUCAAUACGGAGCGAAUUAUUGUAUGUUUGUACUCGGUGUAUCUGUACAUCCCAUGCACUGCACCCGCACUUUAUAUUUGGUGAUUAAUAUUCUAAAAUCAAAAUCUAAUAUAACCCAUCAAAACACAUGCGUUGAGUAUGAAAUAGAUUCUGUUCUGUUGUAAGAGAAUGGUGUCCAAAUUUUUAUAAUUUUUUUAUUUAUAGGUCCUUUAAAUUUUAUAGAGUAUAUCUAGUUAAUUUGAUUUUAAUUUUGAGACCUUCCUCAGAGAUUUGAGAAGUAAACGGGAUGUAUCCAAGGUUGGGAGAGUUUCCGACCUUAUCCUCCAUUUAUUUGGCGGAUCGAAACAGAUUCGUGGCGGGUUAAUUUUUUACUUAUCACUUCAUUCGCGUCUGGUCAGGAUGGAAGCAGAUUUUUGACAGAUCGGGAUAAAUUAAGGAAGGAAUAGAUUCCCCACCUUCCACUCCAUUUUUUUAACAAAUCAAAAAAGAUUCAGGACGAAUUACCUUUUUCUUAUUUUUCACCUAGUUAUCGUCUCAUUCGGGGCUGACAAAGUUAGAAACUGCAUUUAUUUGGCGGAUAGAAACUCUAUAUAUAUAGUUUUGCGUUUACAAGUACAAGAGCAAAAAAAAAAAGAAAAAAAAAUUUGUGGGUAACCCGUAACCCACCUGCCCACCCGCGGGCGGGUACAGGUAAACAUGUUGGCCAUCCAAAAAAUUACAAGUAAAUUUUAUCCAUACCCAUAUAACCCGCAGGUGAAAACGUAUGAUAAAAAAAUAAUUUAUUUAUUUUCGUAUGUAAUAUUGCGUUACAUAUAUCACGAUGAAUCGGUUACAAUAUAUUUUCUGCGGUCCGGAGAAUGCAGAAGCAUAUCCCUAUAUAUUUUUACCCCAACUCUAUUUUAUCUAAUAGCGUCAGAUGGCCACAAAAUCGUAAGGAACACAGGCUUUAUCUAUAUAUAUGUAAAAGAUCUAGCUUCUUUUGACCCUACACGGUGGCUCUUUAUUCCCUAUUUUCAACCAUAUUUAAUUUAAUUAAUGCAUUAUUAAGACAAAGCCAAAUCUGACCCUACUCAAGCACGUGCUCAGUAAAUUUCUUUCCACCUAAUUUUUUUCAAGGAAUAAUUAUCUAUAUACCUCUCAAAACUUCAACCCCUUAUAUAUUCUUCCGUUAUUCAAAAAUAUUUCCGCAGUUACCCCCGUUAAGUUAUCUCAGGUUAAACGUAGUUAUAUGUCUAUCAAUAUUAAAAAAAAUUAAAAUAUCUCUUUUGCCCUUAACGUAAGGGCGAAUAAGAAAAGUUGGUAAUAUUAGAAAGGCAUAUUUUAAAAGGCCAAAAAUCAAAUUACUUCUUUUGCCCCUAACUUAAGGACAAAUAAUAAAAGUUGGUUACAGUAAAAGAAUAUAUUAAAAAGGGCAAAAUAGUAAUUUCACAGAGAUAACGAUUAUUACUAACGCCUAACAAAAUUCAACUCUAGGGAUAUAUUUGAAAUAACUUAGAACGUGAAAAGAAUAUUUGCCUUCUAAGAGAGGUAAAUCAAAAAGUCGAAAAUUUUUCAGGAGUAUGUAAGCAAUUGCCUUUUUUUUAAUUGGAUUGCAAAGUAUAGGGUAUAUGCGUUCAUUUUUAUUUACUUUUCUUUAAUUGUGAAUUUAUAUUUUUUAUUUAUGAAUUGUAAUUUUUUUGAGUUGUUGUAAUAUAAAUACAUAAUUAGUACAUUAAAUAUUUUUAGUUAGUUGUACUUGGUUAUUAUUGUUUCGUAAAUAAUAAUUAUUCAUUUUUUUUUCUAUUUUGAACAUAUAGUUAAUUUCAUAUGAUUUGUAAGUAACUAAUUUAUUUAUCAUCAAUUUUUACUAGUGAAUAUAUAGAGAAAUUUUUAAAAGAAAAGUGUCUUUUAGUUCUUUACAAUAAAAGUCAUCUUGAACUCAAAAAAGAGAGAGUGAAAAUAUAUAAGGUUUUACUAACAAUACAAAUCAAUCUUUUAUGAGAGAAGUAAAUGACAUAAAUUCUCUUCUGGCUAAUCUGGCAAAUAUGAAAAGAAUAUUAAAUACUAUUCAAACAUUCAGAUCUACCACUAAAUAUUAAUAUUUUCUCUUCAUCGUAUUGAUCUUAUUAUGAAAAAUUUCUAAAUUCACCACUAUAUAUAUAUAUAUAGUACGAUAGAAUUCAAGCUGGCUCAGAGAUGUCAAGGCCGUUAUACUUUGGGGAUGGUUCCAUUUAAAUUCGUUUAUAGAAAGAUCGAGACGACUCCAAAGAUUGUAAGUUUCCUACUAUCAGGAAUCCUCCCUUUAAGUGAAUUUCUUGUAAGUUCAAAUUGUGCAGCGCUGAUAGAUCGCUAAUUGCUCAGGAACUCACACCACAAAGGUUGUUACCUGAGAGCCUAUGCUCUCUUAAGAUAGAGGUUCUUAGAAAUAUUUGAAAUCCAACCCUUUUGUUGGCAAUAUCAUAACUUUACUGGAAAAAUUUUGAUUCAACAUCGUAGCCUAAUAUAGUGUCAUUGAUUGUUUGCUAUUACAUCCAAAAAUUAAAAUAAACCAAAAUGUAUAUUAUGGCCAUGUAUUUAUAUAACUUGGUUGAAGCCAUUGCAUGGAAAAUAUACCAAAAGAAUUAGAGGUAUGUUUCCUGAUAGUGUUCCGCAAAAGAAAAAUGCCCAAAUUGAAAAUUCUCAUUGUCCGACGCUCUGCAAGAAUGUUGCCGGCAAACAUACAAUUGAUCAUCAAUCGAAGAAAUUGUAUAGAGUUGUUAACUUUCCUAGCCAUGUAGAAUCUCACGCCGAGACUAAAUUGUUUUGCCCUAAGAAUCAAGUAGUACUAAUGGCAAUACUGUAAAGAAGAAGGAAGUUUUGCCAUUUAAUGGUGUUAUUGUUUAAGUGUAAGAACUCCAAGAUUAGCGGACAACAGCCCAACUGAUCAGGAAGUUGUCCUGAUAAGCUGUGUUAUGGAUAAGUUUAAUAAUAUAUAGAUCCUUUGAUGCACCAAUACCAGCAAUUUGGCAGCUCACACAAAUAAUUUGUUGCUCGAUCCAUUCAAGUUCGGAACGAAAGAUUGCAUGUUGCAUAUAGAUGAUGGAUGCCAUCACAUGCAUGUCGAGAGACCAACUGCGGGCUUUAGAUCCAAAAACUAUGUUUGAGAAAUCAGGCCCAAUCCAAUAAACCAAGCAAAAGAUGGUAAGAAUCCAUGUAAAUGGUUAGAAACCCUAAAUUAACACCUCUAAUGAUGUCAUAUUUCCAGAGAAAAUGCAACAUGCCAGCCUAAUUUGGUUAUUAGAAAGGUCUAAGAUCGCGAUAGAUGAAGAUAUGUUCAAACCAAUAAGGAAUGGGUCUGUGAUCGCCAUUAUCUGACAAAUGUAAGAGGUUUUUUUUUUCCCCCCAAUUUCUUGUUGCAAUCUGGAGCCAUACUUGGAAAUCGUGGACCCAAUCGAGACAUAGCUCAAAAACUACAUUCUUGCACCUUGAAAAGAGAGGCACCCAAUUAUCCUCGACCUUACAACUACAAGAGAUGUAUCACUCACUGCCAUAUGCCUUUAAAUCUUGUGAAUUUCAUAAGAUGAUUUCAAAGCAUAUCCCAGAGAGUUUCCCAACUCAAUGUCCGAGAUUGAGUUAGAAGCAAUUCACACAACAGGGCCGUGGGAUCGGACACGCUCUGCUUGUCCACACCGUCAAUGAUAGAUAAUUCAAGGACGGCGUGAGGAUGAUGCUACAUCAAAUCGUUCUCUUCGAUGAUACCCGCCCAAAUACCGCUACGGAUCGAAAUAAGAAGGGAUGAGGGUGGAAAUUUGAGGCGAAAAGAGAGAUGAAGAGAGAAGAUCAGAAGAUAGAUGUUCGCAGGCGCAGAAGAGAGGAAAGAAGAAGAUAAUGAGAAUAGCAGAGACUUAACAAAUUUUCCAUAAAAAUCUAGUUAGUUACAAUCUGCCUAUUUGUUCCCCUAAUAAUUGGACUAAAAUGCGAAUUAAUAAAAACUAAACAUUGCUAAUUGAGAAUCGAAGUUAUAAAUUGGGCUUCUCCUGCUUCCUCGUGAUCGAAUUCAUGGAGACGUAGGCCUGUAAAAGAAACGCGAUUUAUGGCCCAAGGACCGCCUGUUGCAGGUAAUGCUCCACCGGGUCAUUCUCACCACCAAAUAAUCCACAAUCCGCCGGUCGGGCUUCGCCCCUAAAUAUCGCUCCACCAUCCUCUGGCCCGACCCAAAGCUUGCGCACCUGCUCUGAGCUUUCUACUCCAUCACAUUCGCCCUUUGCUGGUACCAUCCCCAUGACUACUUGCUCCUUCUCGAUCAGCCAUGGUUGACCCGCUGUUCGUAGUCCAGGCUCCCCAAAGGAAAGCUACUACCAAUUAUCCAUUCCUCCCCUUUUAUUCAUUCGCAAUUACUCUGUUUCUACGCUCUAACGCCUAACUCCUCUCCUAUGGCAGACCCUUUUUUUUAAUUUUUUUCUGACUUAUUUGGUCUCGAGCCUGUAGUAAGAACCCUUGACAUGACAAAGAUGUUCUUUUUUUUUUUUUUUUUGGUGUCUUCCCUUAUUUUUACCCGAUAGAUUAUACUAUUCAACCAACCACUUCACUCAACACUAGGACAACACACAUCCUAACACACAUUUCUCAAUCCAGAGCUAAAAAACUCAAUAGCAUCAAUAGCUUGGUGCUAUUGAUAGUAUUCAGCCUAAUUCUGUAUAUAUAUAUAUAUAUAUAUAUAUAUAUAAACAGAUAGAAAAUUUACGAUAAUAGGCCGAAUCAAAAAGAGAAUAAAGAAUAGUCUAUCUAUAUUUUUUAAAAAAAGAAUAAUAUCUAAUAACCUUUUAAAAUUUAAAAGUAAUUUAUUUAUUAUGUAGGACAGGAAUAGCUUGUUGAUUUUAAAAAUUACACUAAUGCGGUUGGGUUUUGAAAGACAAUUUGACAAUCUCAAAUAAGUUUAAAAUUUGAAUAGUAGAUUGGGUAAUAAGCAAAAGCUCCAACAAAAACACCAAUGAUACAUAUCCAUACGUAUUAAAAAAAAAAAAAAAAAAAAAAAAAAAAAAAAAAAAAAAAAAAAAAAAAAAAAAAAAAAACCAUUUGAUACCUUGCUACCAUACGAUUUGAUAACAUACCAAUUAAUCUCUUUUAAGGGCUUCCACGAACCUUCCAUACCAUUCGAUACAUGUAUGGAUACAAUCCAACCGAAUGUAAGUCAAUUUAAAUUCUUCCAGUCAUGGAAUAUUUAAAGUGCUUACAAUCCCACAACAUGUUCAUCUUGCAAAUAUAACAUGCAUUACACAUGCACUGGAACUAAUUCUAAAAGAAUAGUAAGAGCAAUUUUAUUUUUGUUCUUUUUUAUAUAAGAACCAAUGGUACUACAAUUCCACAUAUGUAAGAGUUAAGAUAGUAUUAUGCAUGCAAAAUUAAAUUUAAAAAAAAAACAUAUCCUGCUAACAGUAAAUUUAUGAGAACAAAAGCUUCAAAAUCCAGUUCCACUAGCACGCAAUAGAAUACAUAUACUAGUGUUUAUUUAUACAAAAUUCUUCAACUUCUAUUAUAUAUAAUCUUAGUGCCUCUCAAUUGCCAACAAAAAACCUAUAAUACAUCUUAUCGAUCAUGUAGAAGUAAGUAUUUCUCCAACUAGAUUUGAAGAGCAAGAUACCAUAAACAACCCAAAGCCCCACCAAAAAUCCCAAUCCCAUACCGAGAUAAAUUUCUAUAUUCUUCGGGCCACCACUGUGUUUCUUCUCAUCAGGAGUAUAUGUUGGUUCAUAUCCGGAGCAAUUCUUUGAAAUGGGGGGACCGCAAAGAAAGGGAUUGCCAGCAUAUAUAGUAGGAUCAACCAGUGUUUGCAUUUGAUCUUCAGAUGGAAUCCUUCCUGAGAGGUUAUUGUAUGAUAAAUUCAAGCUGCUCAAAAAUAGCAAGGCCGUUAUACUCUCGGGGAUGGUACCAUUUAAUUCAUUCAUAGAAAGAUCGAGAGACUCCAAAUAAUGUAAGUUUCCUAUCUUAUUAGGAAUCCUUCCCGUUAAGUGAUUUCUUGAUAAGUUUAAAUUGUUCAGUGCUAAUAGAUCGACUAGUUCCUCAGGGAUCGCACCAUGAAGGUUGUUACCUGAGAGGUCUAUGCUCUUCUCGAAGAACAGAUUCUUGGAAAAUUGAAGAUUUGACCCUUUUGUUGCAAUGUAUAAUCUUUGGUCAGUAUAGCUUUGAGACACAUCGGAUGUGAAUGAAGUUUCGAUGCUUGUUGGCCUUAUAAAGUAAACAUAGAGAGUAACAAGUGGUUGAUUUAUAUAUCCAGGCAACUUGGUUGAAGCCAUCGCAUGGAAAUUACCAAAAGAUUGAGGUAUGUUUCCUGAUAAAUUGUUCCAAGAAAGAUCCAAGAUUUGAAGAUUCUCAAGUUGUCCGAGCUCUGCAGGAAUGUUGCCGGCAAACAUAUUUGACAUCAGCCGAAGAAUUGUAAGAUUUGUUAACUUUCCUAGCCACACAGGAAUCUCUCCUGAUAACUUGUUUUGCCCGAGAUCAAGUAAUAGUAAUAGACAAUUUUGUAAUGCCGAAGGAAGUUCUCCAUAUAAGCUGUUAUUGUUUAGGUGCAAGAACAAAAGAGAACUUAACAAACCCAAUGAGUCGGGAAGACGUCCAGACAGAUUGUUGUUGGAUAAGUUUAUAUCCAGCAGUUGUUUUGAUCCACUAUUCCAGCAAUUUGGUAGCUCACCAAAUAUUUUGUUGUUUGACAUGUCGAGUAUGUACAAAUUUUGCAAGUUGCAUAUAGAUGAUGGAAUGUUACCACUGAUGGAGUUGUUCGAGAGAUGAAUGGUGAGCAUAUUUGGCUUGAAGAAAGACUGUGGAAAUGAUCCAGAAAACAUAUUGCUUGAGAAAUCAAGCCAUUCCAAAGAAUGUGGCAGAAAUGGUAGGAAUCCUUCUAAAAAGUUAGAAGCUAAAUUUAACGCAUAUAAAGAUGUCAUGUUUUCCAAAGAGGAUAGCAGCAUGCCACUAAUUUGGUUAUUAGAAAGGUCCAAUAAUACUAUGGGAGAAGUUAGGUCCCAAAACCAAUUAGGAAUAGCUCCUGUGAUAUCGUUGUUUGACAAAUCUAGGACGAAGAUUUCUGUCUGCAACCGGAGCCAUCUUGGAAAUCGUGGACCCAAUCGACAUGAGCUCAAAACUAAUUCGUUCGCUUGAAAAGGAGGAACCCAAUUAUCGUCCACCUUCAAAUCAAGAGAUGUUCCACUCAACCUCAGCACCUCCAAUUUCGUGAAGUUCAUAAGGUGCGUUUCAUGCACAACCCCCCGAAACAAAUUUUCGGAAAGGUCAAGAAAAUAAAGAUUGGACAAUUUUUGUAUCCCUUCAGGUAUCGAACCAUUAAAGAAGUUAUUGCUGACAUCUAGAUAUAUAAGACUCGUCAUUUGUUCGAGCCAGCCAGACAAAUUACCCCUGAUAUUUGUUUUCUUUAAAUCCAGCGCUCGCCAAUUGUUAAGUGGGACACACGAGAAUAUUGACAGGAAUUCGACUAUAUCUCUAUCAAUAUUAAUUCCAGACAAAUCUAAAGUGGCCAAUCUGCAAAGAUUAUUGAUUGAAUCGGCUACUUGACCGUCGAAGUUGUUGGAUCCUAGCAAGAGGGAAGUAAUCCGAGUAAAAUUGUUUAGCUCGACAGGAAUAGGGCCAAAGAGAUUGUUAUUUAAGAGAUUUAGAUCAGUCAAACUAGUGAAGUUCCGAAGCCAACCGGGCCAAGUGGAGUUGAACAAGUUGUCUUGGAGAUCAAGUAUGGUCAAACUUGUUAAGUUAAAAUUGGAAAUGGGGUUAGGAUUGCUUGGAAGAAAACACAACCCUAAGCGGAGCACUUGCAAUGAAGACAACAUGUUUACUCCUUGCAACCAAUCAUUCGCAUUUUGUAGCAACACAGAGGUCAAGUCAAGGUACCUUAAAGAAUGGAGACCUUUGAUCCACGAUAGUUUGCCAUGAGAGGUAGUAGUAAGUUUAGCAUAAAUAUUACUAAGGUCAAGAUAACGAAGAGUUGAUAAGUUUCCAAAUUCAGGAGGUAUCGCUCCAGUAAAACCCGCAUAAGAGAGGUCAAGAUAUCUUAACUUCUUAUACGAAGCUAUGAAAUUAGGGAAACCGGUACUAAAGUUAUUUAUGCUGAGAUCUAAGUGCUUCAAGUGGCUUAAAGAUAGCAAUGAUGGAUUGAUCUCACCACCAAAACCUCUGUAGCUUCUAUUUGCGGAAGUUGCACAAGGGCAUCUGAGUUUGAGCUUCUCCACUCUGCGAGUCUCGUUGUUGCACCGAACUCCCUUCCAUCUGCAGCAAUCAGAGCCUUCCCAAGAAGACAAGCAGUUUCGUGGAUCGACGACACCGGACUUGAAUGCGAGAAGCGCCUCGCGCUCUACGCUGAGGCAUCCAUAGCUCUCCAAGAUUUGGUUUUCUAGAAGCCAAACCACAAGUGAUAUUAUAAAAAGUUGCAUGCUUGUAGCUUUAGCCCUCAUGCUUGAAGAGCCAGUUAAGGCUUUUUAUGAGAAGGUAUGUAGAAUUGUGUGCUCAAGCUAUGGACAUUUGAUUGCUAUAUAUAUUAGAUUGAUCAAACAUUUUGAAUGCAUCGUUGGAGUAUAAGAUUACCAUAUUGCCCCUUAUUGGUAGGGGUGGCAAUCCAGCUCGCUGUUCGCGAGCCAGCUCGUGUUCGGCUCGAAAUGANNNNNNNNNNNNUCGCUCGUUUAGUAAACGAGCCGAACAUGAGCUGAAUUUUUCAGCUCGGUUAAUAAAUGAGCCGAACACGAGCUAGGGUAAGCUCGCUCGUGUUCGGCUCGAUAACAGCUCGAUUAUAUUUAUUUUAUAUUAAUAUAUUUUUAUAUAUUAUAUUAUAAUAUAAUUAUAUUUGUAUAUAAAUAUAUAAUACUAAUUAUUAAUUUUAAAUUUUUAGCAUAAUUUUAUAAAAAAGCUCAGCUUAUAUAUUUAUAAAAGAGGCCUAAAUAAAUAGAGGCCCAGAGGCCCAUUUAUAUUUAAAAUUUUAACCGUUGGAUUAAAAUUUAAUGGUUAAGAUUGCAUCAACCUUUUUAAGUCCUUCCCUAUUUCCUAACCCUAGUUUCCUUUUCACACAUGGUUUCACACUUCACGCAGCCGUGGGCGGCGGCGGCGAUCACCACGGAGGCGGAGGCCGCGACCACAGGCAUGGCCAUGGCGGAGAGGCGUGGAAUUUCAGGAAGAAGGUGUGGAGCAUGAUGGGGGGGCCUACAAGCACUAGCGCCGCACGGCGAUCGCCAUGGCCGGGAUCUUCCUCACCUGCGUCCCAUCGCCAUGAAAUCUGCCGAGCUCGAGGUUUUUUUGCCCUAUUUUUUCUGUAGUUUUUGGUAUCAUCAGUGGGUUGUGGGGAUCGGGAUCGGGGUGGGGUAAUCCGGGGAUUCGUUGUAGGGUAUGAGUGGAAUAACGAUGAGAUUGAGUGGAUUUUUGAGUCAUUUUUUUGCGAAUUCGAUGUGAUUUAGCGUUUAAGGUUACGGGAAAAUGUAGAGAAAUGGAAGUAUUUAACCUUUUUUUUCUUCUAAUUAUUGAAAUAAUCACUGAUUCUCGUUCUCUCUCUCUCUCUCUCUCUCUCUCUCUCUCUUUAACGCAACCAGCCACAGGCGGUAGCACCGCCGUUCGCAAACACUCGGCAGCGGCAGCGGACUUCGAUAGCGGCGUUAACGACCCGAGCUAACGAGCCGAACACGAGCUAGCUCGAUUACGUUGCGAGCCGAUCACGAGCCGAAGAUCUCGAGCUCGUCACGAGCUCGAGCCGAACACGAGCCGACCUUGAGACGUUCGAGCCGAGCUCGAGCUGGCUCCAGCUCGCUCGAGCUCGGCUCGUUUACAGCCCUACUUAUUGGACUCUCCCCUAGCUUAUUUAGCACGAUACGAAUGGUUUUGGGUAAAUCCUACGUACUAUAUCCGGUGUAAGUAAUACUUUUCUCUUUUCACACAACUUGACCUAACUUUGGGUAGACAAUUUAUUGAGUUUUGUAAUUUAAUUAUCUAACUCGUAAUUUGUUUUACAAUCCAUUUUAAAAUCAAAUCCAAAUAGCAUUCAAGUGAUUCAAAUUUAGAGAAAUUGAAUUCAGUGCAAUUAAUUAAGGGUGAUUAUUUUAAUUUGCUUGGACUAAAUAAAUUGGAAUUUAAUAGAGUUCAACUCCAAAUUAUUGUUUGCAAUGGAAUAAAAAGUCAUAUUAAUAUGCCGAUGUUUCUUAAUAUUUUCCUUUAGUUAAAUUGAAAGAAAAUUAAUAUCCAUUAAUUUUGGGAAGGAAUUAUUGGGACAACGAAUACAUAAUAACUCUCAGUGAUUUAAUUCUUACCGAACCAAAAUCAAUUGAAGGAAUUUGAUCCUAAUUAAUUAGCAUCGUUGGUUUAUACUAACAAUCACUGUUUAAAACACUUGGUUUUUUUUUUCUUACUGAAAAAGGCUAUUUAUGAGAUCGAAAGUUCGGCACAGCAUUGAUGCUUCAAAAAAUUAGGGACUCGAUCACCCCUAACUUUUCACAUAGUACCUUAGCAUUUAAUCAAAAGCAAUAUGAUAAAUAUAAUAAUUUUAUACUGAAACAAUGUUUAAAGAUAAAUUAUCUUUGUACUUGACUAACUUUACUUGACUAUCUUUGAAUGGAUGCCAUUAUUACUACAUGACAUAGUCUUUUUUUAUUUAUAUAUAUUUUUUUGAGGUGUGAAACCGAGAAAAUGUGGUAAAAAAGUUGCUGGACUUGGAGUCGUCCAACAAUAAGCAGGCCACUUUUUUAGUGCUUGAUCUUGACUCUUAAGUCAUGAAAUAAUUCAAUUGUGGUUCGACUUGGUCUCUGUAAUAAAUCAGUUUGGUUCAGUUCUAUAUAAAACCGAGAAUUUUGAUUAGGUUUAAAUAUUUUGCAAAUUGAACUAAAUUUUUUUUGCAAAUUGAACCAAAUCAAGCUGAGUAAACCCUUAGCCAUGACAAAGUUUUUUUUUGUAGACUUAGGCUUAGCUUGGUAUUGAGGUUUAUCAAACGCUAUUAGAUAAAAUGAAGUUCGGGUAAAAAUAUAUAGAAAUAUGCUUUUGCGUUUUCCGAUAGAACCACGAAAAAUAUAUUAUAAUCGACUAAUCGCGAUAUGCAGAACGUAAUAUUACAUACAGAAACAAAUAGGAUGCUUUUCCAUCGUACUUCCUCACCACACGUAACGUAAUCUCCUCGCAAUCCCAAACAAAGCCUUAGCAUUUUCUGUCAGACUAACACAUUAAAAUAAAAGAAGUAGAUAAAAAUGUUUGAGGAUCCCUCAAAUAUAGAUCACUAUAAAACAGACCCGUCAUUUUUACGGAUUUCUAAGUGCGGGUUUACUAAAAUAUUAAUUUAAACCUUCGGUUUUCAAAAAAUUAAAAAAAUGUGACUAACUCUAGAUAAGGAGGAAUUCUACACUGUCACACUUGCACCACGUCAUCAAUAACAAGCCAAUCACAUUCCUUCUUUUCAAACAAAAGUACAAUAAAAAUAUAUUUUUACAACCAUGAUGGGACAUAUAUUCUUAAAAGGAUUAAUUUGAUUGGUUUGUUACGUCACGUCACUGAUAUACCCGUUGCAUUCUAGAAUUUUUCCUAGAUAAGGGUGUAAGGUCUCGACCCAAAACGGACUAGAAGCCAGCCUGGCCCAGCUUUAAAUUCGGGUCGGGCCUGUCGCUCCGGCUGGUCCAGGCCUCUCGCCCGGAGAACACUGUCCGUGCCGAGCUGAGCCAUGCUCCGAGACGGCCCCUUACUUUUUUUUUCAAAAAUAUAUAAAAUUUAAAAAUAUGAAAGAUUAAACCGGUCCUAUUUAAACUGAUAUUAUGAUUAAAAAUAUUUAAAAUUUACAAUAAUUAUUAUAAAAUAACAAAAAUUUUAAGUUGUUUAUAAAAAAAGGUGAAUUGGGUUCCUGGGACCAAAACCCACUCUUCCUUAUGUAUGGAGCAUUGGUAUGCACCAGGUGCAAGUAAACAAUUUCUCCUCUUUUAAAAUUGUAAGUACAUCCUAUUAAAUAUUCUUGAUACAAAGUAUACACUAUACAACAUUGUACUACAUUCCAUAAUGGUUUAAUUACAACUUUUCAUAAUGGCUUAACUACACUAUACUAUAUUGUACUUUAGUGUUAUCUUUUUUUUGUUAUAUUGUACUAUUUUUUUUUUUUUUCAAAAGCCUCUAUAUUUACCAAAAUCACCAUGUGGUUAUUAGUCUAUAUUUGCUGACGUGGCAAAUAUUGUUUGGUGCUGAAGUGGUAGCUUUUUUUUGUUAGAGUUAAGGAACUUUUUGAUAGUAGAUAAUUAAUUGAAAUAAAUGGUGAAAGUCAGGGACUUGAUUGAAAAAAUCGUACGCUUGGAGACAAAAGUAUGAAAAUUUGAGUAAAAAGUUGGGGACCAAUGGUUGAAUUAGUUUAAUCUAUACUAUAUCUAUAGCUAUACUAUAUAUAAAAUCAUACAAAAAAUUUUACAAUAAUAGACUGAAUUGGAAAAGGAAUAAAAGAAUAUGCCCUGCGAAUGGUUAUAAUCAAUUUAUUAAAAAAAUUUUAAGAAACAAUGAUCGGUUAUGAUCAAUCUGUUAAAAAAUAGCAUUUCUAUCCAUCUAUAAAUCCAAUCAUAUGAGCGGUUAUAAUUAAUUUGUUAAAACAUAUCUCAACAGAAAUGAAUGGUUAUGAUCAAUCUGUUAAAAAAUAACAUUCCUAUUCAUCUAUUUUAAAUUAAAAUUAAAAUUUGAAUUUAAAUCGUGAAUCAAAUUUAAUUUUGGAUAUCAAAUUUGAAUUAACAAUUAAAAAAUUUUAAUUACAGUGGAUCAAAAUUAAAUUUUAGAUUUUAAAGUAAAUGUGAAUUAAAUUUGAUUUUUUUAGUUUAAAACACAUGCUUAAAUUGUAGAUUCAUCAUAAUUCAAAAAUAUAUAAAAGUAUUCAAUGUGUAUGAAAAAAAAGAAAAAUACAAGAUAUUGCAGAUAUCUUCUAAUAAAAUAUUACAUAUAAAUUUAUAAAAUAUAUUUUUUAUUGCAAGUUUUUAAAAUAUAUAAAAAUAUUCAAUGUAAAUAAAAAAAUAAUAUAGAAUAUUAAAAAUUGUAAGUUUUUAAAAUAUAUGAAAAUAUUCAAUGUAUAUAAAAAAUAAUAUAGAGUAUCGUAGAUAUCUUCUAAUAAAAUAUAACAUAUAAAUUUAUGAAGUAUAAUUUUUAUUGUAGAUUUUUGGAUAAAUCUAAUGUACAAAUUUAUAUUGAUUUCAAAUAAAUUAAAAUAAUUGUUACAUAUAUGUGCACGUACGCUCAGCUAGUAUAUAUAAAAACAAAUAGAAAAUUUAACGAUAACAGUCCGAAUCAAAAAGAGAGAAUAAAAAAAAUAUUUUAUCUAUAUUUUAAAAAAAGAAUAAUAUCUAAUAUGUCUUUCAAAACUUUAAAAUAUCUUAUUUAAAUCCUAUCGGACCAUAAUAGCCUUGUUGAUUUUAAAAAAUUUCCACUAAUGAGAAUGGGUUUUUGAAAUAUAAUUUCAUAAUUUCAGAAUAAAUUUAAAAAUUUGAAUAAUAGUCAGGGGUAAAUAAUCAAAAGCUUCUAGAAACACACCAUAUUCCAUAUAUAUUACAAAAAAAAAAACCAUCAGAUACCUAGCUACCAUAUGUACUAUACCAUUUGAUACAUGUAUGGAUACAGUCCAACUGAAUGUAAGUUAAUUUAAAUUCUUCCAAUCAUGGAAUUAAAGUGCUUACAAUCCUGCAACUUGUUCAUCUUGCAAAUAUAACGCACAUUGCACGUGCACUAUAACUAGUUCUAAAUGAAUAGUAAGAGUAAUUUUAUUCUUGUUCUCUUUUUUUAUAAGAACCAGUGGUUCUACAAUUCCACAGGCGAAAUUAAAUUAAAAAAAGUACAUAUCCUGCUAACAGCAAAUUUAUGAGAACACAAACUUCAAAAUCCAUUUCCACUAGCACACAAUAGAAUACAUAUACCAGUAUUUAUUUAUACAUAAUUCUUCAACUUCUACUAUAUAAUCUUAGCGCCUCUCAGUUGCGAGCAAGAAACCUAUAAUACAUCUUAUCGAUCAUGAAAAAGUAAGUAUUUCUCCACGUAGAUUUGAAGAGCAAGAUACCAUAAACAGCCCAAAGCCCCACCAAAAAUCCCAAUCCCAUGCCGAGAUAAAUUUCUAUGUUCUUCACGCCACCACUAUGUUUCUUCUCAGGAGUAUAUGUUAUUUCAUUUCCAAAGCAAGUCUUCGAAAUAGGGGGACCACAAAGAUAGGGAUUGCCGGCAUAUAUAGUUGGAUCAACCAGUGUCUGCAUUUGAUCUCCAGAUGGAAUCCUUCCUGAGAGGUUAUUGUAUGAUAAAUUUAAGCUGCUCAAAGAUGUCAAGGCCGUUAUACUUUGAGGGAUGGUUCCAUUUAAUUCAUUCAUAGAAAGAUCGAGAGACUCCAAAGAUUGUAAGUUUCCUAUCUUAUCAGGAAUCCUUUCCUUUAAGUGAUUUCUUGAUAAGUUCAAAUUGCUCAGCGCUGAUAGAUCGACUAAUUCCUCAGGAAUCACACCACAAAGGUUAUUACCUGAGAGGUCCAUGCUCGCCUCAAGAUAGAGGUUCUUGAAAAAUUGAAGAUCCAACCCUUUUCUUGCAAUAUAUACUUUUUCACUGGUAGAAUUUGGAUACAGCAGGUAGUCUAAUGAACUUUCAUCUCUUAUUAUAGGUGUUGGAAAACUAAAAUCCAAAAGAAAAAGUGUUUGAACCGUGUAUUUAGCUAACUUGGUUGAAGCCACUGCAGAGAAAUUACCAAAUGAUUGGGGUAUGUAUCCUGAUAAAUUAUUCCAAGAAAGAUCUAAGAUUUGAAGAUUCUCAAGUUGCCCGAGCUCUGCAGGAAUGUUGCCGACAAACAUAUUGGACAUCAACCGCAGUAUUGUAAGCUCUGUUAACUUUCCUAGCCACGUAGGAAUCUUGCCCGAUAACUUGUUUUUCCCAAGAUCAAUGAAUACUAAUGAGCAAUACUGUAGAGAAGAAGGAAGCUCUCCAUAUAUGGUGUUGUUGUUCAAGUGCAAGAACUCAAGAUUACUAACAGAGCCCAAUGAAUCUGGAAGUUGUCCUGAUAGCUUGUUAUUGGAUAAGUUUAUAAAAGUCAAACUAUUUGAUGCACCAUUCCAGCAAUUUGGCAGUUUACCAAAUAAAUUGUUGUUCGACAUGUCAAGUAUGGACAAAGAUUGCAUGUUGCAUAUAUAUGAUGGAAUGUUACCACUUAUGGAGUUGUUCGAGAGAAGAACGAUUGCAAGAUUUGGCCUGAAGAAAGACCUUGGAAGUGAUCCAGAAAACAUAUUGUUUGAGAAAUCAAGCCAUAUCAAAGAAUCAGACAGAAAUGGUAAGAAUCCAUGUAAAUGGUUAGAACCUAAAUUUAACACCUUAAAUGAUGUCAUAUUUUCUAAGGAAGAUGGCAACAUGCCGCUAAUUUGGUUAUUGGAAAGGUGUAAGAUCACGAUAGAUGAAGAUGUGUUCCAAAACCAAUAAGGAAUAGUGUCUGCGAUCCCGCUGUCCGACAAAUCUAAGAGUUCAAUCUCUUGUUGCAAUUGGAGCCAUCUUGGAAAUCGUGGACCCAAUCGACAUGAGCUCAAAACUAAUUCUUGCACUUGAAAAGGAGGCACCCAAUUAUCCUCCACCCUCACCUCAAGAGAUGUACUACUCACCGAUAUAAACUUUAAUCUUGUGAAGUUCAUAAGAUGAGUUUCAUGUAAAACCCCAGUAAACGAAUUUCCACGGAGAUUAAGCAAAGUUAGAUUAGAUAGUUUAUUUAUCCCUAUAGGUAUCGAACCAUUGAGGAAGUUAUUGCUGACAUCGAGAUAUAUAAGACUUGUCAUAUGUUCGAGCCAGCCAGACAAAUUUCCCUUUAUAUUUGUAUUAUGUAAAUACAAUAUUUGGCAAUUAUUAGGAGAGACGCAAGAGAGUUCUGACAAAAAUUCGUUUAUAUCUUUAUCAACAUUAUAUCCGGACAAACUUAAAGUGUUUAAUUUGCAAAGGUUUUGGAUUGAAUUUAGUACCGGGCCGACCAAGUUGUUGAAUCCUAAAAACAAGGAAGUAAGUGAAGUCAAUUUGCCUAAUUCAAUAGGAAUUGGACCAUAAAAAUCGUUAUUAUUGAGAUUGAGAUAAGUUAGGCUAGUGAAGUUCCACAGCCAAUCGGGCAAGGUGGAGUUGAAGAAGCUAUGUUGGAGAUCAAGUAUGCUCAAACUUGUUAAGUUAAAAUUGGAAAUGGGGUCAGGAUUGCUCGGAAGAGCGCACCUCACUAAGCAAAGCACUUGCAAUGAAGAUAGCAUGUUCACUGCUUGUAACCAAUCAUUUGCAUUUUGUAGCAUCACAGAGGUCAAGUCAAGGUACUUUAGAGAAGAGAGACCUUUGAUCCACGAUAGUUUGCCAUGAGAGGUAGUACUAUAGUAAUUGUACAUAUAACUAAGGUCGAGAUAACGAAGAGUUGACAAGUUUCCAAGUUCAGGAGGUAUCGCUCCAGUAAAACCCGCAUUAGAGAGGUUAAGAUAUCUCAAGUUCUUAUAUGAAGUGAUGAAAUUAGGGAAACUGGUAUUGAAGUUAUUCAUGCUGAGAUCUAAGUGCUUCAAGUGGCUUAAAGAUAGCAAUGAUGGAUUGACCUCACCACCAAAACCUCUGUAGCUUCUAUUUGAGGAAGUUGCACAAGGGAAUCCGAGUUUGAGCUUCUCAACUCUGCUAGUCUUAUUGUUGCACCAAACUCCCUUCCAUCUGCAGCAGUCAGAGCCUUCCCAAGAAGACAAGCAGUUUAGUGGAUCGAUGACACCGGACUUGAAUGCGAGAAGCGCCUCGCGCUCUACACUGAGGCAUCCGUAGCUCUCCAAGAUUUGGGUUUUUAGAAGGCAAACCACGAAUAAUAUUACAAAAAGUUGCAUGCUUGUAGUUUCAAACCUCAUGCUUCAAGCACCAGAAGCUCUCAAUAGGAAGGUAUAUAAAAUUACUGGCUCAAACUAUGUAUAUAUAGUUGCUGUACAUUAUAGAUUGGUCAAAUUUUGAAUGGAAUCUUAGGGCCAAUUUGGUCCUAUUGCAGGUUGUAGUUUGCUGGAUGAAGUACUAUAUAAGUAGCACUUUUAGAAGAAUUAUUGUAUUAAAAUUCUGUCGAUAGUUUCUAUUUACAGUAGAAUUAGAAAUACCAAGUUACAACUUUUGCUGCUAGCCUCAAAAAUUUGUUUCUGAAUAUAAAGUCUCACAUUAGAUGGGAAUGAAGGUAUGACUAAAAAUAUAAAAGCUCAUGGAUAAUAAUAAUAGUAACUGGGCUUACAUUUUGGACCGAUUGUUUGGAUCCAACGAAUUAUUAACGCUAACGAUCGGAUCUUACAAUAAUAUAAAAAUAAGAUCUAAAAGGAAAAAAAAAAAUCUUCUAAUAUA
This 48320-nucleotide long non-coding RNA is filed under the name Ananas comosus (pineapple). Its description in RNAcentral is "long non-coding RNA (ACOM_LNC022608)". The record is from RNAcentral. Lineage: Eukaryota; Viridiplantae; Streptophyta; Magnoliopsida; Poales; Bromeliaceae.